This 45654-nucleotide long non-coding RNA is filed under the name Phoenix dactylifera (date palm). Its description in RNAcentral is "long non-coding RNA (PDAC_LNC000083)". Lineage: Eukaryota; Viridiplantae; Streptophyta; Magnoliopsida; Arecales; Arecaceae. The record is from RNAcentral.
AUCAAUCCCACCUCACCACCAAUCUUUCCUUUUCUUUUUCUCCAUGGCUAGCAAGAACUGACAGUCUGUCAAGGUCCUUGGUAUUCUCAUGAGUAUUGUUAACCAUGACACUUCAUUUAAUAUAGGUCAGAAGAGCUUUCGCACAGCUAAUGUUUCUGGUAGACAUUAUUUGUGACUAGGACUUCAGAGAUAACUGGAACCAGAGGACCCUAAUGAAAAUAACAUUUCCAUUAGCUUGCUUAUGGUUAGUAUACAGAACAAGUUGAACUUUUGGGUUCAUUGAAACAAAAAGGUAAUUUCAGUAAGUCAGGUUUGAGUAGUGCAAGGACAAAUGUAUCUCAACCCUAGACAAAGCAAGCAUAUCUUCAAGUGGGGCCUCCACCAAUAGGGAAAAUGAACCUAGUUUCUGACCAUGGAUCAGAUGGCAGUAGCAGCCGAUUCCGUAGGAGUCAAUUCAAAAUUAUUGGGGGUUGAUACCAGUAACACCAACGAAUCAGAAAUUAAGGCUCUUUUUGUUUGCCCAUUUGAAUUAUGAUGUUCACUGAGGUUAUUCAGUAGGAUUACUUGUCAAGCCAAUGGUACCAAGGUUCCUGAAGGCUGCCUGAUAUUUAUUAUUGAGGUUAAGUCCGAAUGUUUUGGUCAUGUAUCUCCAUGUCUCGCGUUCUUUGAAGGAAUGAUCUCCUUCUAGUGAAUAGCAUUGUGGAGAGAACCUUUAUUUGUGAGCAUUGCCCUACCAAUACUUCAAACACCAUUAAACCUAUCACAAAACUUCGCAAAUGUAAAGGGUAAAUUAAAUAGGGCGGUUCAUAAGUUUAAUAAAGUUUCUUUCUUUUCUUUUUCUUUCUUUUUAAGUGAAAGAAGGUUAACCCAUCAAAAUUUAUUAACGCAGAAUUUCACACUAAGAAUGCAGCAUAAUGACAGCACCUUGGAGCAAAGACUGAUUGGAGAUAACAUGUAAAGCAUGGAAGAGAUAGAAGAAAGGAACAACAACUUGCAAGAUUUCAAAAUUGUGCAGCAAAAUAUCAAGAUGAGACCACCAUAAGUAUGGAUUAUUGUUGCAAACAAACAGAAUAUUUUAGACUUAAUGAAGAAAUAAAGUAAGAGUUCUUGUUAACAUAAGACUACAAACCUCAAGCGGAUUCAAUCUUUAUAAGAAUCAUACACCUCUCCUACCUUCAUCUCAGAAUCAUCUGCAAGGGAAGAAUCAUCUAUGGUACCAUCAAUCUCAUCAUCCUCAAGAUUCAUAAAUGUAGUUUGAUUAUCAAAGUCACCAUCAAAUAGAGGACCCUCAACAUCAGAGAACUCAUUAAAACUCUCAAUUCUCUUUCUCCUUCCUCUGUAACCAGUAAACCUCAGGAUCUUCUCCUUCCAGAGAACCAAGGGACAUUUAUCUGCCAACUCAGAACCUUCAUAUGCUUCUGUCAGAAACACACUGAGACGCUUACCCCUUUCAGAUACAUAAAAUAUGCCAAAGUGCUUCAAAAGAAGCCUCAUUAGCUUCUGAGGCAUUACAAAUUCACGUCGAAAGUGCGUGAGGUGGUCAGUAACCAGCCGCUUUUCGAUGGUAAAGCUCAAUAUCUCAUGCAUGAUUGCCACAGCCCUCUUAUCAAACUCUUGCGAGCCAGGUGAGAGCCCUUUAGCAUCAGCAUAUGGAGACAAGUGUGACCUCUUCUGAAAAUGCUCGAUUUUACCGCCAUAUCUAAAGAGUUUCUUGUAAUUCGAAGGAAAUUUCAUUGGAAAAGGAAGGAAAAGAACUUCAGAUUCAGAAGAAAUAUCGGAGAUUGUUCCUGUUGCCAUAGCUUUCUUCUCUAGCUCUGUAACAGCCCAAGCGGGAUUCCAAGAAACAAGCUGCAAAUACUCAGCAUCCUCAAUUCUUACAACCUUGAAGUGAUCUGGAAACAUAUGGAUCCAUCGAUUUCUGAAAUCAUAAGGAAGACCAAAAUCUCGUCUAAAAUGUGCAAUUUUAUCAACUGAAAGCCUCUUAUUCACUGACAUCAUCAAUAACCUUGUAACAUACUCAACUGCUUUCUCAGAAUGCUCUUCCAAUAGCCUAGUCUCUUCUUCCACAAGAUCCUCAGCUUCCUUCGUUAGCCCACACCAUAUCACUCCCUUCUUGUCCCUGUACAGCUCAAACAGCUUUGGGGACUUGCGGAUAAAGUGCACGACCUUAUGUGGCUUACUCAGAUUAAUCUGCUGCCGAUACUGCUCCAAUCUUUUAAGUGGUAUCACUUGUUCGGGUUCUCUCUUCAAUGCCUCAAUCACAACUAACACUUUUGAAGUAACCUUUGACCUCUCUGUGGCUAUCUCAAGAUCAUGCACCCUCUUCUUCUUGCUGCGAUCUUGCACCCUUCUACUUUUUGUCAUUGUGCGCUUUUGUGAGGCCAUGAAGAACCAAUGAAAAGACAAUCCAGUGCUUUCUCUCAACAUGUUACCAGCAGGAAUCAGAAACUGUUAAAUCAGGAAACAGAUCCAAUCAGAUAAACAGGAAAGAAACAAGAACUGUUUGCCUUCAACAUAUUUACCAAGCAUUUAAGCAAUCAAGUAACAAAUAAUAAGUCGUUGAAAAUCGACUGACAAUAUUGUUGGUAUCCUCUAUGAUUUAAAGGUAGAUUAAAAAACACAUCCCAAAAAGUCUUCACAAAAUGAUUUAGUAAGUCCAAAAUAAGAAAAAUAUGCAUAGCUUAAUAUUGCUUAAAUAUAAUGUAUAUAACCAGUAUUACAGAUAGUCCAUUUAAGCAAGUCAGACAUAAUUAUUUAUUUAUGUAAUUAGCCAUAGUGAUUGUGUACAACAAUAACAAGUAUUAGGAAAGUACUUUUGACAAUUAAAUAUUAGUUUCCCAGAAACACAAUAAGCAAAUAAGUUUAUAUGAAGAUAACAAAGUAAACAGGAUAAGAUAUCACGGCUAAUCAUCUCAAUGUACAGAACCGAGUAAACUUCCAUUUUAACUUUUAAAUAAAAAUAUCAGAUGUUAAUAAUCUUCUGAGUUAGUAAACAUUUUCAAUACUUCUGAUGUUCAACAUGCCUCCCAAAAAAAGGCACAGAAAUAUCUAUAUUUAACAAGAAAACAAUAAAAACCCCAUAAAUUUUCAAACCAUGUCUGCAUAUUGUAUAAGAAAAACUCCUGAGUGCCACUCUGUUUAUGAUGCUCCCUGAGUUUCCGUAUUUCCACCACCUCUCCAUAUUAAACUACUCCCUCAUCCAAUGUGAGCACGUUAAUAAGCAAAGCUGCACUCCAAUGCUGCCUCAUCAGGCAUUCAAUGGCGAGUACUCUUACAUCCAGUGAGAUGUGCAUUUGUGCAGGCAGGCAAGCGCCAUGCACAUGAACAAGCAUGUUUGCCCAAAUGCAUGUGUGCACACACAAAAACACACUUACAUUCAAUGAAGAGUGCUCUUAUAUUCAAUAAUGUGUGCAGGCGGUCAGCUGAGCAUCAUGCAAAUGUACAGCGCAUGUGCCCAAACAAAACGCAGACAGACACAAUGAUAUACGUACAUUAAUAUGCAUACACAUAUCACCCAUAUACACAUGCAUAAAUAUAUGCAUUCAAAUGUCCCUGCGUGUGUGAACCAUGUUGCACGCAUGCAUACAAACAUGUGUAUGCAUAUUCCCAUGUAUACAAGCUUCAGAUGGCUGACCAAAUGAUUCCAACACGUUAAUGUACUACAAUGUACAGCGAUCGGCAUCACAAUGCUCCUAAUAACUAAGAAGCAUGCUUUCAUCUAAUUACAUUUCCUACAUUGCCAAAUUUGGAGGAUGUAUUCAGCAAAUUAUCUACACCAAUAACAAGAACAUGCAAUUGUUAACUUAUGCACGUAAAGCACCAAUUUAUUACAGAAAAUCCAGAUUUUCUGUCCCUAGCACUUUGAUACAAGAACCAAAAACACAGAUUAUCAAGUCUAAUCCAACUUAACCUAACAGUAAUUCAAAAGCGCCCUGCUUUAUCAAGUAAUACUAUACUAGAAUCCAUGCAUAAUAAUGCAACUACAGCAACUAAACGCAAAACGAGCUGAAAGAAUUUCCAUAAACCCCAUCAGAAGAUUUCUUAAAAAUGCUGUGCAAAACUACAGAAUUCCAUCACGUUUUACGAUAUUCAUAUUUCCAAUACCAGUAACUUAUUGCUUAGUACUGAUUUACCAACCCCACAAACCCAUUAAAACCCAAAAUGAUAACUGGAAAAUCAAAGCAAUCAAAUCGACAAAUUUAUCCUAACCAAUGGGGCAAAACGUAAGUGCCGGGACCGUAUAGAAUGACAUAGGGUUUAUCACUUUGCUUAGUUCUAAUUUAGCAACCCUACAAGCCCAUUAAAACCCAAAAUGAUAACCGAAAAAUCAGAGCAAUCAAAUCAAAAAAUUUAGCCUAACCAAUGGGGCAAAACACUAGUGCCGGGACCGUAUAAAAUGACAUAGGGUUUACUUUUGGGGCGACGACAGUGGCGGCCUUCACGGUGAGGCCACGGAAGCUCCUCUGGCCGAGCCCCACCCCGCACGCUCCCACCGAGGAAGGAAUCCUAAAAGGCACCAGCGAGAGGCGAAGCCCGUCGAAUGACAGCAGGCUCGUCCUCCUCACCACUCCAGAUCCAGAGAAUCGCACAGCCUCCAUCAACGUACGGAUCGAUGGUCACUGCGAAGAAAUUAAACCAUAACAAAUGCAAAAAAAAAUCAAAUUUUCAGGGGAUUUUCGGGAGAAAAAUGUGGGAAAAAAUAACGAAGAGAAGAACCGUAGAAUGGAAAUGGGGAAAGCUAUGAAGAAUAUAGGGAUUACAGGGAAUUCACGAAUUGCUGACGCCAGGAGAGCGAGCCACGGAGAGGACAACCCUAGCGAGCCGAAUGCCAAUGGAGAGAAGAUGGCUGGGUUUUAUACGAGAGUUUGGUUAUAAUGUCUGUGGGAACCCAUUUUACUAACCUACUCGCUGCGAAAGUACGAAAGGAGGGAGUAUUUUAUAUGUCUGGAAAUUAAAUUUGAUUUCGGCUUAUUGGAAGUUUCAGUCGAAGUAAAAUGUUCUGGAGGGAUAAUGUAAAGGGCCAAGCCAAAAGUCCAAUUCACCAUCGGUACUUGGGUCUGCGUUGACAUCCAUCAAGAGCUGUUCCAUCAAGAGCACAGCUCUUGAUGGAUGGUUCCACUGCACUAGUCGGUUUGGCAGCUUGGCUGAGCCAUACUAGGGAUUGGAUUUGCCAGAUCCCUAUAGCUUUGCAUGGUCGAAUCAUAUGUAUUUGAUCUAUGUAUUCCCAAAGGGCAGUAUAAUGGAUCAGAUGUCAGUAGUAGUGGAUUCUGUAGGAGUCAAUUCAAAUUUAUUGGGGGUUCAUACCAGUAACACCAACGAAUCAGAAAUUAAGGCUCCUUAUGUUUGCCUAUUUGAAUUGUGAUGUUCGCUGAGGUUAUUCAGUAGGAUUAUUUGGCAAGCUAAUGGUACCAAGGUCCCUGAAGGCUGCCUGAUAUUUAUUAUUGAGGUUAAGUCCGAACAUUUUGGUCAUGUAUCUCCGUGUCUCAUGUUCUUUGAAUGAAUGAUCUCCUUCUAGUCAAUAGCAUUGUGGAGAGAACCUUUAUUUGUGAACACUGCCCUGCCAGUAUUUCAAACCUUUUGACCAUUAAACCUAUUUCAAAACUUUGCAAAUGUAAAAGAUAACGGUAAUUUAAAUAGGGCGGUUCAUAAGUUUAGUAGAGUUUCUUUCUUUUCUUUUUUCUUUCUUUUAAGUGAAAGAAGGUUAACCCAUCAAAAUUUAUUAACACAGAAUUUCACAUUAAGAAUGCAGCAUAAUGACAGCACCUUGGAGCAAAGACUGAUUGGAGAUGACAUGUAAAGCAUGGAAAAGAUAGAAGAAAGGAGCAACAACUUGCAAGAUUUCAAAAUUGUGCGGCAAAAUAUCAAGAUGAGACCACCAUAAGUAUGGAUUAUUGUUGCAAACAAACAGAAUAUUCUAGACUUAAUCAAGAAAUACAGUAAGAGUUCCUUUUAACAUAAGACUACAAACCUCAAGUGGAUCCAAUCUUUAUAAGAAUCAUACACCUCUCCUACCUUCAUCUCAGAAUCAUCUGCAAGGGAAGAAUCGUCUAUGGUACCAUCAAUCUCAUCAUCCUCAAGAUUCAUAAAUGUAGUUUGAUUAUCAAAGUCACCAUCAAAUAGAGCACCCUCAACAUCAGAGAACUCAUUAAAACUCUCAAUUCUCUUUCUCCUUCCUCUGUAACCAGUAAGCCUCAGGAUCUUCUCCUUCCAGAGAACCAAGGGACAUUUAUCAGCCAACUCAGAACCUUCAUAUGCUUCUGUCAGAAACACACUGAGAUGCUUACCCCUUUUGGAUACAUAAAAUAUGCCAAAGUGCUUCAAAAGAAGCCUCAUUAGCUUCUGAGGCAUUACAAAUUCACGUCGAAUACCAUAGCCCACCACCACCCUUCCCGAAGCAGUGAUAACCAAAGCAUAAGCAAUAACACAGCUUGUUCAACUAAAAUCCAUAAUGCACAAAUAAUAUUAAACAAGAGGCCAUGAACAUAGAAAUUCUCUUUCUGCCAUUAUGUUUCAAGAUUGAAAAAGACUAAAAAAAGAAAGAACACUCUGAAGGCAAGAUGGUUCAUAGCUGGGCUGUAUAGACUCAUACUAAACAAAAGCUUCUUAAAAAUAUCUAAGAUGAAAUUCUAGAAGGAAAUUUGACAUGAGGAACUUGAAAUGCAAUCAGCCUACACUUAUUCCCAGCCUGAGGGAGCCGGUGGGGCAGCCUCCCAACCAGAGGGCACAACAGGAGGAACACCUUCCGUAGGCAGAGCUGGAUCUGGAGCUGCAGCUGCAUCCCAUCCAUCAGCAGGAACAGGAGCUGUUCAUUAGACAGAAAGCGGAAAAAAAAGAGAGAGAAAGUUCUUAGAACAAAUAUGAACAGCUCAACGAUGCAACCAACCAUGUCCCCAGACAGCAAGGAAAAUGAUAGGAGAUAAUGCAACAUGACUUUCACAUGGCGCAUGACCAUCAUACAGAUUCAGCAAUAAACCAGUACAUUACCUGCAUCUAAUUACACGUCGAGUGGGGACAGCAAACAACAAAAACAAUUCCAUAAGGGGCUGCAACACUAAAAUAUUGCUCUGCAGAACAACUCUUAUUUCAUGACAGGAAAAAAAAUGUUAAGGAGCUUUUACUCAGCCGCAUUGUUGUUUCUGCUAGGCUUACUAUAUGGAACAUAAAGGAUCAAUAUCAUCUUAUGAAGUAGGCAACUCCAUCUACAGUGAAACAAGGCUGUUCGUAGUGCUCUAUGAAAUAAAAAGCUCUUAAUAAAUCAGGAAGGCCACAAAGACCUGAAAGGGGCAGACAUCAAACAAGGUGCAUACUUACAACAGAAUAAACAGAAUGCUAAAAUGGUCUCGCCGGAAAUAUGAAGGGUUAACGGUUUUUAAGAGCAUUUGGAGCACGGCACACUUAAUACUAGCAGGUAUCAAUUGUUUUAAGUUGGUGAACACAAAUUUCAAGGUAGCUACAACCAUUCUCCAUAUGCUGGACCACAAAUUCAUGCACAGGAUAACCAUAAAGCUCCAUGAACGAGGAAAAUCUGGGUAACAAGAAUCAUGCGAGGAGAAAGAACUGGUGAAAUUAGAAGGAUGAGAGAUUUUGGAAAUAGUCCUGACCUUGACUGGCAGGAACAGUGGCAGGUGCAGUUCCCAUGUCAGGAACCCACUGUUCAGCAGUCCACUGAUCAUUGGGUACCACACUGGUGUAAUCAGCAAUUCCACCAUGUUCAGGUGGGCCAGAGCCUCUUCUUCCUGUUCCAUUGGCUUCCUCAGGAUCCCUGUAGAAAAAUAGAUCGACCUGUGCAGACCACCAAACUAACUAAGAAACUCAAAGAUAUAAUCAGAGAAGCAUAUCUAACAUCAUCAAAUUAGCAAACCAGAAAAAAGAGUAAAUAUCAUAUUUCGAGCAAACGGGGAACUAUUUCAAAUGAAAAGCUGGAGAUUAGAUAACCCAAGGAAAUAAUGGAUCAACCAUUUCUUGUUCUGUAAAAACAGAGCGCUGCUUACACUUCCAGACCCUGAAGAGAUGCAGAAACUAAAGCUACUUCUAGCUAUGCAAAAACCAAAAAAUGUACACAAAAUGAUAGGGAAAAGAUGAUUCCUGCAAAUCAUAAAAACCUCGAUCUGUUUUUUCAGUGAUUUGAUAUGACUAUGUAGUUAGCUCUCGACAUUUGUUACCAAAAGACUCAUUUGAGAAAACUGGGACUAAAACAAUGUAUAGCCUAUCGAAAUGCUUCCCCUCCAGAUGAUUAAUUGAUAAUGCUUCAAAGCGAAGAGAAAACAAUUAGAAGCACAUAAGUCAAUAAUCUCUUACCAUCACUUCCCAUUUGUGCCCAGGAGCAAUAGUGCCACGCAUCUGGAGAACCAUCCUAGCCAACAACCAGAAGAGGCAGCCAAUACUGGACUUCCCUUUGUUGUUUGCAGGAAUUCCAAUAUCAACGUAUCGCAUUGGAGAAUCAGUGUCACAAAAGGCAAUGGUUGGAAUAUUUCCCAGAGCAGAUUCCUUGAUAGGCUGCAGGUAGUAUGAAUAGAAGGAAUUAAUAAUCCAUUUCCUUGGCCAGUAAUAAAAUCACACCUUUGUUACUGAUAAAUUCACCUGAUGAUCGGUUCUAGGAUCAGUGAGGAUGAGAAGCCGUGGCUCACUAAAGGAUGUCUGAAGCUGAUUGGUGAAGGUUCCAGGGGUGUGCCUCCCAGCAAUAGCAUGAGCACCUGUGUACUGAGCAAACUUCAAAACAGCUCUUUGACCAUAUGGCCUUGCAGAUUGGACAAUAAUAUCCUGAGGAUUUUCAAUCGCAACGAUGACCCUAGCUGCUAGCUGAAGUUUCUCCCAAGUUUUACCAAGGUUGAUGAUAAAGAUACCUGAAAAAUUAAGACUACAUGAGUUUCAGAAACCACUCGCUGAUGUAGGAAGUCAAAAGGUGCAAAUAGUUAAUAGAGAGAGAUAGAACAAGACAGCAACUAAUUAUUAUAACCACAGUACAAUUAUGAGUAGUAAUUGAAAAUACAUAUAUAUCAAAUUUAUAAUAAAAAACACUACUUUUAUAUGGAACUCAUCUAGAUUUAAGAAGCCCAAAGCAUAACAGUUGUGGAAGCAGCUCAGAUCCACAAAGUUGCAGAAAGCUAUACAAAUCCAACCGACUGAACAACAUUUAGCAAUCUGGCCUCUUUUAUCUUCUAGAAAUAGAUAUGAAUAGAUAUGGCUUGUUUUAGAAAUGCACUGAUAGUGUUUAGCUUUUCAAAGAUUUAAGCAAUGAUACUGAUGAAAGUAUUGACAUAACCUAGGAUAAAGGGUUACUGGUGUUAGCAAACCACACACCUACCAUUCCAAAAUCUCAAUUCUUAAAGCAGUCCUACCAAAAACUGCCCUCAACUUCAUGAUAACAGGUACAGUGACCUUUGCAGUUGGCAGAUCUGGCAACUUUAACACUGUUUUGGUGCUUAAUUAUAACACGACCCAUCUAAAACCAAAUUCACAAAAGCUUUAUUCCAACUACUUGUAGUUGGUGGUAUACAUCCUUCCACAUGAUUCAUUCCAAUACAUAGAGAGUUAAAUGAUUGUCCAUUGUUACCGUAAAGAUUUUAUGGACAAUCUUUCCUCAACUUCCAUCAACGGCCCCUCCAAUUAUGCAUAUACUCUGUGGUCCAAAACAUUGAAUAACAAUAAGACGUGUGGCAAUCAUUUCUAGCAGGUAGGAAUAGUACUAUUUUCUAUCGUUAACUGCAGAUUUUGCCCCAGGCCACCACAGGAUUCUCAUAUAUUCUGUGCUUAUCUUAUGUGCGAUGACCUUAUCAAUCAUCUGACGUCUUUGUCCAUAAAACAUGCGAAUCAUAUUAUUAUCCAACAAAAAUUCUCCUUGCAUACAUGAAAGUCGCCAAAAAUUCUCCAGGAAUACAGGAAAAGACCUAUUUCUUUUCAUCGAAGAAAUUUUUUCAGGAGCUUACAGUAGUUCAACAAGAUAAUCAUCCAUUCUUGUAUAUGAUAAAGUCAUAUUUCAACAGUUUGAAAAUAUAUACAGAAAAAUAUGACAAAAUAACAAAUAACAGGAAGAACUACAUGAAACAUGUCAUAGAAGAAAAACAACACGAAUCACAAACGGAAAAAAUAUACGAUUUAUCCCCACAAAAUCACGGGUAGUCUGUCCCUACCCGAGAGAGGUUAUCAGAAACUCUAAGCCAACAAAAAUAAAAGAAAAUAAGAGAAAGCGACAUCAACAGUUAUAUCAAGGCACGGUAAGAAAAUAUCUAACACUUCGCGAGCCAUGACUUACAAAUUUCCGUUUAUCUAGCAGAAUCUGAUCAAACAAGCGUCAGAAUUUUUUUUUAAAAAAAAAAGAAAGUAGGAUUGAACUUAAGCAGCCCAAAAACACUAAAAGGCUUGCAGCUAACCAAACAUUAUAACCAUUAACAAAAUCGAAACUUUUGCUGAAUUCUUUACUAACCUCAUCCGUAAAACUUGAAUAUAACUUAAAAUAACUGAUAAACUUAUUUAUGAAGACUUCAUCCUACAAUCUUUUCUCAUCGGAAGCAAUAACGCCAUAAACCUACAGAUCUAGGAGAUAGGAAACAGAAUUCUAAGGUCUAGGGUUGGGGCCUGGAUACCGUCGGAUCUUCGCUUAAAGACGUAGCGCUCCAUCUGGAAGUCGCAGUUCUUGGUGCCGAGAUGGACUUCGGCGGCGAGCAUCAUCUGGAUGUCCUGCUCCUUCUGAGAGAGCAUCCGAGUCGUCGCCAUGGCUGGAAGAGUCCCCUGGAGGCCGAGCUCGAGGGCUAUGGUUUUGGAGUAGAGGGAGAAGGGGAUCCCAGAAACCCUAGCCUCGCUUUUUAUUAUUAUUAUUUUUUUCAAUCCACAGGCGACGAUGGAGGAGCCGCGGGAGAAAGGAGGGAGGGGCUCUUAUUCUGUGCUCUCAGAACCCUAGCGUCCGUAGUAAAAUGACUGGAAUGCCCCCUUGGAAGAACGGGCCAGGUUUGCUCGAUGGAUCGGUGAACCAGGCGGAGAAAUUGGUUCGGGCCGGUUUGAGCGAUUGGGUCAGACCGCUUUGAAGAAGAUGUUUAAAUUUGGAAUAGUUUCUAACUAAUUGAUUCUUAUUACGUCUUCUUAUUUUCUUGUCUGAGCAAAAUCUAGUAUGGAUUGGAAUAGUAUAUUUGUAUUUCUUAAUUAGUGGACCAUUCACUGCAUCAAUGAAGACUACAUCAGCUUAAAUUUAGUUUUACAUUAUUAACAAGGAAAAGAGAAAUCACUCAGCCCAUAUUGCAUAGAAUUACAGUGUUUAGGACGAGCAAAUUAGAAAACCAAACCAGUUACUUUGAACUCAUCGAUGCUUUUUAUUUAGGCAUUCGUCAAUUGAGAAUGAGAGUUAAAUUGAAGAUCCAAUCGAGUUUCCAAUCUUAACACUGACCGAACUCAUUUUGAAUUUUGAGUUUCCAUAUUGCCCUAGCCUAGACUUCCGAGACAAGCAACUAAUUGGAAAGCCUUGAUUUAGACACUCUGAUUUACAUCUACAAUUUCAUGAUUAUAUGAUUCUGGGCAGAGCCAACAUAAAGGUUUGCAAAUUGAGGUCCAGUCAGCAAAGCAACCCAAAGACCAGUAAGCACAUGAUCCCGUCAACGAUGAAGACGAACGCUCACAGGCAAGGUUUAAUUCCAAUUAUGAACUCUUAAAAGCUUUGAAUCAGCCACUUUGUUUUCUUGGUUUUUUUUUUUUUUUUUUGGGUCUCUUCGUGACGCAGCCAGUUUAAAAGAAGUCCGGGUUACAGCAGUUUGUGUACCACAUUACACGCACAUCGUGAUGCCUUGUUUGUAUUCAUCUCGCAUGCAUUAGCAAUUGUAGGAAACGCCACAACAGCAUAUCUUGCAAAGUAGGAGCCUGCGGGUUUCUGAGGCUCCAAUAUUUGAUACGAGAGCAAAAAAUCUCAGAAAAAUAAGUCUCGAAUUAUCCCGAUACUAGCGAUGCACCAAAUCAGAUAUAGUCUUUCAUCACCAUGGCAUACAACAAGGACGAGCAUGAAAAAGGGAAGUCUCAUAACCUGUUUGAUGCAUUGGGUCACAAGCAAGCAACAUCCCUGCAGGCAGAAACAACACUUCCUGCAUGCUCAUCAAAAUCCAACAUACUAACAUAUCCUUGAUCGCUCAUAUUGAGUAUGAUGGACUUGGCUUAUAUUCUGUUCAAAACAACAUCUAAAUUCUCCUAUAAGCCAAAAUUGCAUAGCAAAGCAACUGUACCAUUACAUCGGACAGGUCCUCGAUAUACCUGGAUUCUGCAUCGGCUUCAAGUGCGACACAUGGCAUUGAAUCCUAACCAUCUUUUCAGCUUAGGAUGGGGAAGAUGCGGGUAACAUGCUCAAACGGGAUGCUGUCCACUGUGUUCUUCUUCAGCUCUGGGUGGUUGUACUCGUUGCGGGUGAGGACGAUAAGCCGGGAGCGGCCAUGACCCUUCUCGAGGGCCCAGCCACUGUUGGCCACCUGGUACUCCAGAAACUUGUCCAGGGAGAGACCUUCAAUGUUGAUGGCCUGCUCGGACAUGAAAUGGCUUCUAAGAACAAGAACUUGAACAGACAGCAAAAUGACACCUGAAAUCAUUUGUCUAGGCAGUUUUCUGUGCUUCAGCUUUCGGAGAAAAAGAAAUAUUUUCUACUGGCGUUAGGCAUUGACUUCCAAAUGAAACACUUUUCACGAGUUAAUUGCUCUCUCUAGGAGUGUGACGAUGCGUUUAUAAUAUUUGCAUGUAGGAUGAGUCAAAUGAGUUCAAAUUUUAACUGCUAACUCUAAUUCACAAAUCCAUAUCAUUGCAACAUGGUGAUGAGAUAAGAAGUGGGAGAACCAGGCGACAGGACAGAUCACAGAGUCAUGCCAGUGAUUCCAAAUCUAAGGGAGGAGAAAAUGGAAGUUCUGAUGUUUCCCAAGUUACUGGUUUCACCCCUAGUAAUGGAUGGAGGUAUGGGCAUGGAGAGUGGAAGGGUUUGUGUAUGCUGAGUCUGGACAAUGAUCAGCAACCUGUAGUAGGAUAGGCCCAAAGUCAAGGGUAUAUAUAGUAAGUUACCCUGAGCACCAUGUAGAAUGCAACUAAUUCUGCAACAACACAUAAUACAUAGCAAGUUCUGCAGAGAAACUAUUCAAGGAUUAAGACACACAAGGAUCAUCAAAAAAUUGUAAUAAUCUCUUAACUACACGCCAAUAUCACAAAUCUGACAAAAUUGGAAAAAGAUUCAAAAUGAAAGACUACAGUGGUGUCUAGCAUAUCAUUAGCUCCAACAAUGAUUAAUAUUGAUAAGCAGAGGAUUAGCGGAUAAAAGGACUAGAAAACCAUCAAUACUGAAUUAUUCUUAGGCCUUAGCGGAGCCAACUGAAUCUAAAAGUUCACAAUGAUGCAGUCAGACAUAAGCUGAGCUAGCCCUUAGCAUUUUGAACAUAUAUUCACUUUACCAAACAACAAACAAAAAGCAAAAUUUAGGCCCUUUACUAUUCUGCAGUAAAUUUUGACCUACAACUCGAGUAUCAAAGCAAUGCUCAACAUCAGUUGCCUUGUUAGCAUGCUUCUGCAAAUCACAUAGCAUAUGGAACAACAAUCUAUGCCCAAGCAUAAAGUUAUUAAAAUUGGUUCAUCACAAGGUAUGCCGAACCGGUCCGUACCGGGUACGGACCGGUCCGCCCUGGAAUCCGGUACCGGAUCAGCGUGGAAUCCGGUACCGGUAGCUUAUCGUUGGAGAAUCGGUAUGUAACCGGUACGGAAUCAGCGUGGAAUCUGGAACCGAUAGCUUAUCGGUACCGGCCCGGGCCGCCACCGGUCUGCCGACCGACACCAGUACGGUGGAUCUUGGUUCAUCAUUCACCAAACGCAUUCAAGCCAAAUAUAGCAAAGAAAAAAGAUGAAGAACAAAGCAAUCUUACCUCUGCAAGUACAGGCCUGGGUACUUUCUGGUAUGUUAAGGAAAGGACAUGAAUUGCAUAAGCUUGGAUUGCUUGCUCGAAACCUGUGCCAUAUUUAUUUAAGUCAAAAUAACUUAACCAUGAUAUAGAUACACAUGCGCGCAUGCGCACUCCACACACACGCAUAGAGGAAGGAAAGGAGGGAGUAAUUUUUCUAUAUGUUAGCAAAAUGAGACAAAAGCUUAAGAUGUGUUCUUGAGCUUGGUUAAAAAGAUCCUGGCAGAAAGAUGCCUGCUAGAUCCUUCACCAACAAGCUAGAAAAUCCAAAAGGAAUAUCUUUUCCCAGAUCAACUUCCCCAAUCCGGUAAAAUAUUGGCCCAUGGCCAAAUAACUAGCCAGUUUGCUCGAUUGACAGCUUCAUAUGAAGUUUGGAUUAGUUAAAAAUUUUGUUAGUGAGCGAGUGUCUACAGGGAUAAGCUCCCAAAUAUCACAUGUUGUUCAAGCUUUCUGUCAGCCCAUAAACAUCAAGAAAAGGUGCUCUCCUAUGAUGACCUGUGCCAAAAGUUUCUGUUACAAAAAUUGGGUGUACAGGAUGGUUUUUAUAAGCUUUCCAUUUUAAGGAUACAAAGCAUUUACAAUGGAAUAUAAGGGUACAUAUUUCUUCAGAAGGCAGUUCAGAUCAUAUCAAAGAUAUGAAGGAUAGAAUACAUACAUAAAAGUUCAGGAAAGUAGUUCAAGUUCUCUGAAGGAUAACUACUCUGGAACUAGUUGAACUCUUAAAACCAUAUCUCAAGGAGCAUUUCAAGAGAGUCGUUGAAAUUUAAACGAAGCAGAAUCUCCAUAAUAUAUGGUUUCAGGCAACUUAAAGAUAGUUCCAUUCAUAUUUGUUAUUGAUAUAUAUGCCUGAUUACCAGCUCACUAUACAAAGUUCAUUUGAGCUGAGACUCAUAAUUAUAAAGAAUUAAGGGGAAAGGACAAAAAUAGGACAAAUAACUAACCGAACACUAAUUGAAAGUUGAAAUUAAUCAUGUCUGAGAAGCAAUAAACCCCACUCUUCAAAAGAAAUGCAUGCAAAAAAGAAAGAAAGAAAAGAAAGAAAGGAAAAAGUGAGAGGCGAGAUGAGAUAUGCUGAACAACAUUUUACUAGUAGCAAGCUUGUUAACAUAUGAGGAUGGAUCGGGAACAUUUCGAUCUCUUUACCUGGAACAACUUCAAGUACGCUGCGAUUCUUCCCAGCUUCAUCCCAAAAUUGACGAAAUCUUGCAGUCUGUAGUCAUCAAAAGGAUUUUAGAUUAGCAUCGUUCAUUCUGAACAUAAACAAAAAUCAGAAUUAGCACUGAUACAUACCUCUAGAUAGUGAGAAAGAACAAUCAGUGUCUUGAACUGCUCCUCCAUUUGCUGUCCAGAGGCAGAAAGGAAUAGAAGAGAAGAUUAGAAUGAUAAGAUUUUUACUUCCAAUAAUCAUCAUAAGUCUGAAAGCACAGUAAUCGAGAGGAGUGAACAAUUGGAUCUCAAAGUGGAGUUAUUUAGCGGUAAACUAAUCUAGGUAAUGUAACAUGGACCACUGAAUAUCAAACAAGAAUAGAGGGCUAAACCCAGCCAAAACUUGUCCAUCAAGCUAUCUGCAAUAGAAGACAUCUAACCUCAAGCAACAAUGUCAGCUACAAAGGUGGGUGCUAAAGAUCUGAGGGAUUACCAAAUAAAAUUAACCAUUUGAUUGUAAAGGAAUACAUCUUUUCCAUUCUCUAAUUAAGAUUUACCAUUAUCAAAGUACUUGUCACUAGAAUGAUGCGUGUAUAUCCAAAAACUUCAUAUGUGCAUGCACAACCUCAUUAGCAUCAUUCAUUUCUUUUUGCAUGAAACUCUCAUGCACAGAUUUCAUUUUCAAGAAUACUGUUAAUUAUGACUGACAAGAGCUCACCUUUCUCCAGACAGGUUCAUGCAAUAGGGAUAUAUACACAGAUGCACUGCCAAAAAAAGGGGUUACAUACCACUUGUUCAGGAAUCAGGAAGAGACAAAGGUUAAAAUCUGGUGCUGGCAUUGCCAUGAGAGCCUGUUAAAAGAUGAAAAGGUAAAUGAUGAUAUUGCCAUGAGAUGUGGCAAAGCAUGGAAUAGAACUUGUUCAAAAUUAAUUAAUAUCCUGCUUCCAUAUGUUAAUUUUGGAGUUAACCAACCUUGAUCAAAAUCCGAACUACAAUUGGAAUGCUCAUCCGUUCGGGCUCAAACUACAAAAGAAAAUAAUGUCAGUAGAGGAAAAUUAUUCUUAUAUUUACAAGCACAUAUUUGAUAGAUAAGGAAAUGGGUAUAAAUAACCUGAUAAAGCCGAAGGAGGCAAAGAUUUGCAUCCAAACUGUAUGUUUGAGAUGAAACCUGCAACGUGAAGCAAUCAAGGAAAAACUUGUAAACAUGUACAAGGAAUCCUAAUGCAAAAUUAAAAAGAAAGAAAAAUGAAAGAAAGAAAUGAAAAAGUGCAACAUACAAGCAGCAAGCUUUGUCAGAAUUCACAAUUGGUUCAGAUUCCGGAUUCUAAAAUUAGGGAAACAUAAUAUACAAGUAACUCUAGCUCAAGUUUAACAGAAAGAAUUGUUAAAAAACUCUAUUAUUUGAAAUUGGAAAUACAAGAGACAUCAUAAAUCCUUUCUAUUAAAUAAUAUCUUUAACCAAGGGAAAGGGUGGCUUGCUAGCUGAAUGCAUGCUUAUAAACUAAACGCCUGCAAUGAUGAGCAUGACAGUAGGUGCACAUCAUAAACAAGCAAGAAAGAAAAUAUAUAUGAGUGCGGUUUAGGUCUUCAAUGAAGUGGAAAGCCAGGCUCAAAGUAGCUGUCUAAUAGUUUUAAAGCAUACCCCUUUCAUAUGUGAUGGAAAACACAUAUCUCAAAAUCCACCAUGCAUAGCAAGCAGGCCGAAAGUGAAAUUAAGUUUCCACUUUGCAGCAGAUGAUCGCAUCCAAAAUAUAUACCUGACUAUUUAAAUCUGAUGAAGUUAGCCCCUUAGUCCUCUUUACAAAUCUUAAACCUUCUUGCAAAUUAGGAGAGGCAGAAAAGACCCAUAUGUGCUUUCAUAAACCAUAGUGCAUGAAUGAGGUCAAUGAAUAAAGUGCUUCAUGGCAUUGAUGGCUAACAUUCAGUAAAAACAAACUUAAAUACUAUCAAAUCUCACAACAAUUGUGAAGCAAGACAUCUGACUUUGACUACUGUGAGGUUGGUUUUAUUAAACAAACAAGAUGGCAUCAGAAAUUCAAUAUAUUGUUGCAGAAAACAGCAACAUUGUGCCUAAAAGAAAGUUACAGAAUCAACUUAAAGUCUAGACUUUGUGGAAUCAUGUUGAAUGUAAUAUUCAGCAAAUUAAGAAUUCCAAACAACAUAUUUCACAGGCUAUCAAGUUGCUCCAUCUGAGCAAAGGCAUGAAACAAUAUGUUCUUGAAUUUAGAAGAGAUUCAUGCUGCUUCAAAAUCAUUAGCAAAAUACACAUUCGGGCAGGAACAGAUAAAUGGAUCGACACUUAAUCAUAAAAAGGCCUGAUAUGGCCUAAAUUCAUGGUAACGAUUUAUAGAAACUUGCAAGUUAAGGAGGGCCAAUUUGGCAUUGCUAGGUGAGCAAUACUGGAAAUUUGGUUGCUUGGACAACUCAAGGCUUAUCAUUGCUAUCAAACGCUAGGUAUUGGGCAAAUGAGCACAAAGAAAUUUAACUAUUUUGCCAGGAUUAAAGCUCCAGAACAGUCUGCAACCAUAGAGAAGCCUAUGCCAUAGUUCAUGGAGCCAGCCUCCUAAUCAGGCAUCCUAAGUUCAUGGAGACAAAACUUUCAAUUCUAUUUGAUAGUUCAUGGAGCCAGCCUCCUAAUCAGGCAUCCUAAGUUCAACUUAAGGGUCUCUAAAGAGAGUGAAACGCCCAAUCCACCUUGGGCUUUCCCUGAUUGGUACAAUGUGUUUCUAAUGUAAUGAGGACAUGAAACAUUGUUGGAGGUUUCACCAAGCCAAAUGCCAAGCUAGAGAAAACUAUUUAACAACAGAAAUUCAUAUAAUUGGUUUUCUAUAAAUAUUAUUUUCAUAUAAUCACUGUAAUCAAGAUCCUUCACUGAAGAAACUCGAAGCCGAUCGACCAGCAAUCACGCAAAUGAAUAAGGCUAUCAUCUUCGCAAUUAAAUAAAUAAAAAUAGCGAAAUUUGAAAUCCAAAAGCUUAAAAGAUCCGAUUGUAACAGCAUCACUCCAAAGAACAUUUCCCGGCAAUCAAUAUAGCAAAGUAAAACAAAACUAAAAAUCCAUAUUUCUUCAAACAAACUACAGAGUUCAACAUUUCCCCGAUAAACGCUCGAUAUUGGGUAGGACAUCAAGAGAUUAAUUAAGAGAAGCUCACCUGCUCAUUGACGUAGUUCUCGAGAUCGGUGAGGAUGUCGGGGUUGUAGGGGUUCACGGCGACGAGCUGCUCCACCGUGUACGAGACCUGCUGCUGCUGGGAUUCUCGUUCUCUCACCAUCUCUCGAUCAAAACCCUAGAUCAAAAACCCUAAAAGCCCUAGACGAGAGAGAGAUCUGGGGCGAGACCGGAGAAUUGGGGGAAGAAUUGAAGAAACCCUAACCCUGACCCUGAUCUUGCAAGAGACCGGUGCCUCGACGAGCAAGGGGAUAUAUACCCGAGUGGACCGCAGAUCAGAUGAUCCUGGCCGUUGGAUUUAUGGGUCCCAUUUUAUGGCAGUCUCAUUUCCGAGGGACUACUGAUCGAAAAGCCUGGAUUGACUGCCAGAAUCUGGAGUGGAUGUCCCACGUGCAACCGAAAUCCAUGCAGGGACCUGAUCCGCGCCGUUCGUCGUGUCGAUAGAAACAAUCGCAUCCAUCUAUUCGUGGCGUCGCACAAGGUGGAGUCAUUCAAGAUCCAUUAGCCUGGCGAUGGCGAGGCCCUUUAGCCUAGAGGAAGUUCAAGACAACAACAUGAAAACCUUAAUUCAUACUAACUUGAUCCAGUAUUAGGUCAAGACCUCCUAAUCCAUAUCUAGCCAUAGGUCAUUUCGAGUCACCUCUUUAAUUCUAAAACUUAUUUAUUUUGCAAGAUUUAAUAUCUAAUAAAUCUAACUUAAUGCAGCAAAUACAAUCCUUACCGUUCUUAUUAGCUAAUUUUUAAAAUAAUUAAACAACUAGUAUUAUAAAAGAAAAAUCGGCCACUCUGAAAUUUUCAUUCAAGACCAUGACUCAAACUGACCUAAAUAAUUUUAACCUGAAUAGAGGGGAGCUCUCAUAUGCUUUGGAAUAAUUUAAACUCAUGCCCGAUCUUAACUAAAAUUUCUUGAUAAUAGGUCGGGUCAGGCCGAGUUUCCAAGCCAUGUUAGUUUUUAUCACCUCUACUUUAAAUUCCCUACCCUGCCCCAAACUAGAGAGAGAAUACUCGGGUGAUGUUUAAAGAAUUUUCAAUAUCACAAUUCAAAAAUUAAUCACGCAAACAAAACUUCAAAAUUCAAGACUCCUAAUUUAUAGUCAAAAGCUAGGGUGUCAAAUGCAGCACGUAAAAAGGUUUAGGGAUACAACAUUCCCAAUGGGUCAGAUUGCAGCAACAAAACUCUCUUAUCCACAAUCCCAUUUCCUAUUUUUCUUUGAACUUAGGCAUUGGUUUUGCAAUCCAACUGCGGCACAAGAUGGGCGAGAGGUGAAGCAGCGGUGACGUGAAGAAGAAAAGUGUCCAUGAACAUCAAGAAAGAAACUGGAUCAAGAAAUCUGCAAAUUGGUUGGGCAUGCACUUGGUCUCGCCAAAACUCUCUGACCCCUUCACCAUCUAUAUUGGCUUGACUAACGGAACCAAUUCAAGUAAGAAUUCAUUGACAUUUAGAGCAUUGAAUAUAAUUUUAGGGCUAUAGAUAUAUCAGCAUGCAUGAUUCAAAUGAUUAUUCAAUCUACAUAAUAAUAUCUAAGCUACAUUUGAAGGUAGAACGAGAGAGAGAGAGAGAGAGAGAGAGAGAGAGAGAGAGAGAGAGAGNNNNNNNNNNNNNNNNNNNNAGAGAGAGAGAGAGUAAAAAGUCGUUUAACCCAACAAGAGUUAUUGGAGUGCUCUAAGUUGGAUAAUUUUGAAAGGGCAAAAUAUGUAUUUAUGAAUACUGGUGCACAAGUUUUUGCCUUCCAGCCCCGUUUCCACCUAAUUUAAGAAUAAGUCACUCUAUUAUAUAUAGUUGAGUAAUUUAUUUUCAAAAAGUAAAGAAUAAUAGUAUUGCCAUCCCAUCUCAAUAAUCUAGUUAGCAACCAUGAGCAAGCACCAUGUUGAUUAAAAGUGAUGAAAUUAGAGCAAUAGAGAUCAUAUGAGUCUUGCUAGAUUGAUAAAAGGUCGAUCAUGAUAAAUUUCGUAUAGAUCGAAAGAGAAGAGUUCGGUCAUAAACAGGCUGAAAACUUAGACGUUGGCCCUGAUCAACCAUGAUACAUAGAAAUAGAUUAAGAUGACUGAAGCAGUCUCAAGAUAAUCUCAAAUAUAGAACUGUUAUAUAAUUAUCGGCCUAACAAUUGUAAAGCAACCAUGCUGAUGAACGUAUAUAGUAGGGGGAUAACUGGUGACAGUUACAAGAACCACUAAAAGUGGAGGCCAGACGUAGGAGCAAUCGUCAAAAUAAGCAGUUAUUAUUUAUUAAAAAUAAAUAAGUGAAAAUUGUGCUUUGGAAGAAACCCUUCGACAAUCAAUCCAAUAUGUCUUUUAUCUUAAUUUUACUUUACUAGUAGCUUUUUCCCUAAGAAUAGAUGCAACUUAGAUUUUUUUCAAUAGCCCAAUGCUACACUCCUGUCACAACCUAGUGCUAUUUUUUUUAUUGUAGCCCAACGUUAUAAUCCUUAUCCAUAUUCAAGACGAUGGUACAGUGACGAUGAAAGUCCUUGGAGAUUAAGAUACUUGGAUCCAUACUGCUCUCAAUCGUCCAUUCAAUUGCUAUUAUCAUUCUGUCGGCGGAUCAAAUGCCAGUAACAUGCCUGCACACUACAACCUCGUUAAGAUUGUAACUCGAGUCAUUCUCCAACGAUCAACUAAGUUUAUUGGAAUCUCAAAGUUUUCUGGUACUCGUCUGCAUGGGACGGAAAAGCCGGCCAACAAAUAGUAAUAAGUUAUUUUGCUUCCAGGUCUCGAAGGCUUUGUCCCUAGUUCGAACUCAUGUACAUGAACCGAUUACUCAUAUAUCUGGAAAAGUUUUUCAAAGAAAUCUUUCCCAUGAUUCCUAAACUCUCCCUGUCAUCCAAGCAAGAGAAAAAUGAGCACUUAUUGGGGCUCCAACUCUCUCUCUCCAUGGUCACCCCCCUUAUCCCUGAAUGCAGCCAGCCACCUUUCGCCAUGAACCAAUACCUAGAAACUUAUCACGCUUGAUAAAAUGGGAGUUGGAUGGAAGGGGCACGGAAGGCAGUGACAUGAUUGUUGGACGACGAUUGUUCUUGUUGGCCAUCCUUCGUAGUCCUAUUUUAGGCCUAUACAUCCGAAGUAUAAAGAUUUAGCUAACAAAAUAUAUAUAAUAUAAGAAUCUCUUACCAUCUGCGACAAAUAUGUGACAGAGGAAUUAGAAAAUAAAGGGAUCAAUAUAAGAAAGAGAUUGAUAUGCAUGAGGAAAAAUAAAACUAGAAUAGUUGUUUUCUCAAUUCUUAAUUGAAUCAUUGGUAUUUUUCCCUCCUGUGUGUAACAAAGUAUGGAAAGGAUAUUCUUUAUACCAUUGGAGGUGUUGCGGGAGGGGAGGGGCCUUGAAUUUAGUCCCACAUUGGCUAGUAGCGGGAAGGUUCUGUGCCUUAAAUGGGGGUUGGAAAACCUUUCCUCUCGAGGCGCAUUUUGAAGGCAAAAUCGUGAGGGCAGUGGUCUCCCCCCGUCUGCGCUAGACGCGCGGGCCGGAGCGCCCAAAGCGGACAAUACCUCGGGAGGAACGCAGUCCUUUUUCUCUGCUAGCUUAAUGUGGGCUAGGCUGUUGUGUGAGGCUCCGGCAGAAUGCCGUCUCCGCAACAGNNNNNNNNNNNNNNNNNNNNNNNNNNNNNNNNNNNNNNNNNNNNNNNNNNNNNNNNNNNNNNNNNNNNNNNNNNNNNNNNNNNNNNNNNNNNNNNNNNNNNNNNNNNNNNNNNNNNNNNNNNNNNNNNNNNNNNNNNNNNNNNNNNNNNNNNNNNNNNNNNNNNNNNNNNNNNNNNNNNNNNNNNNNNNNNNNNNNNNNNNNNNNNNNNNNNNNNNNNNNNNNNNNNNNNNNNNNNNNNNNNNNNNNNNNNNNNNNNNNNNNNNNNNNNNNNNNNNNNNNNNNNNNNNNNNNNNNNNNNNNNNNNNNNNNNNNNNNNNNNNNNNNNNNNNNNNNNNNNNNNNNNNNNNNNNNNNNNNNNNNNNNNNNNNNNNNNNNNNNNNNNNNNNNNNNNNNNNNNNNNNNNNNNNNNNNNNNNNNNNNNNNNNNNNNNNNNNNNNNNNNNNNNNNNNNCCUCGGGAGGAACGUAGUCCUCUUUCUCUGCUAGCUUAAUGUGGGCUAGGCUGUUGUGUGAGGCUCCGGCAGAAUGCCGUCCCCGCAACAAGAGGAAUAGAUUUAUUAAGCAAAAAAAGAAAAGAAAAAAAGGAUCUUUUCACAUUUAGCUAGAGACGCGAGCAGGAGAUAAGUGAUUAUGUUAGAUUUUGAGGUGUUCUGAAUUUUUUUUUUUUUUUGGUUAAAGAUGAGAUCGCCCUUAGUUUUUUUAUGCGUUAAUUGAAUAGAUAGAGUAGAAAAAGAUAAUUAGAGGGAUUAAAUUUCUUCAAUUCUAUAGUAUAAUAUUGAUCAACCAAAAUAUUGAAGCAAGAUCACACGAUGUGACCUUGCUUACAAGAGUAUAAAUCUUGAUCUCAUCCUCUCUUUGGUGAUUGGUAGAAGCCUACCCAAGAUCUUCUUCCUCGAAAGAAAUUAUUGGAUUUUUUUUUGCCGUGGCCUUAUUUCUUCGCUCGGAGAAAUUCUACACGUAUAAAUUAUUAAAAAAUACAUAAAAAAAUCAUAAAAUAAUAAAUACUUAUUUGAUUCAUUUCAUUAUAUCUCAAAAUUAAAUAGACAAUAUUGAUGAAGUGAAAGCAUAUAUAUUACUAAAUCUUUGCUGAGAGAAUAGCAUACAAAAGCCAGAUGGUAACUGCACUUCAUGAUUCACACAUCAUAAACAACUGGAAGGAGGUAGGAAUAAUGUGUUGUGUGCUAAAUAUGUAAUUUCUCAAUAAAAUCUUUAUAAAAGUAAGGAUAGAAAGAGACAUCGGGAAAGAGAGAUUUAACUAACCAUUUGGCUAGCUGGUAGAAUAAAGGAUGAGACUUGUAAGCAAACAUAAGCAUCUCAUGUCAUCGACAUGACGGAAACCGGCGUCAAAAAAUUUUGAUUGAUGUAUGCAGAUGAAUGUAAAUUAAGAAGUAAUCCUAAUUGGCAUUAGCAUAAGAAAAUAUCCUACAAAAUACGCAUAUCCAAUGUUCUAAGAGCAUCUUUUUCUGCCUCUUCGCAUAAACUAGGCUAAAAGUCAUACGGGCAAGGGUUCUAUGUUGUAUAACAAAAAUAUAUUUCCAUUACAAGCUGAAAACAUAAUACAUAGAGCAUUAAAAUUACAAGGGCUGUCACAUCUUGUACCUAAUAUUUCGACCAAAAAAAUGAAGACUUCAUUGCUCACCUAACAUGCAACUUCUUAUAUCUAUAUCACUACAACAAGGGCAACAUAAUCUAAUUGCAUCCUACAAAGCUCUUAUCCACAGCGAAUAUAAACAAAUAGAUUUGACCAAGCCCCUUGCAUGUGCAUCUCCCUCAAAAGGUCGUCUGAUUGGCCUGAUUUAGUCACACCGUCGUCGCCAUUUAGCUCUGGUAUGCAUGAAUAGCACCUUUAGAUUUUGGCAAUAUUCUCAAAACCGGGCCGGAAGGCGACUUGGUGCCCUAGCCAAUACAUUAAUUCACCGGCCAGACCGGUUUGAUCGACAAAUUCAACCGGUAACGUUAACAUGACAACAUACUGAUGUCAUAAAUAUUUUUGUUUUUCUAAAAUUUAUGAAAAUAUAAAAAAUCAGAAAAAUAAAGAAAAAUUUUCAUAUAUAUAUAUAUAUAUUUGAUUCAAAACUUUACUUGCACCAAGCAUUGGCCGACGAAGUGGCAGCAACUGUCGCCUUUUCCUUGGCAACACUGUCACACGAUACCCUAAUUCUGAUCCGCUUAAAGUUGAACCCUACAAUUUUGAUCCUGAUCCUUGUCUCAGCUCGAUCUCCAAUGGAAUUUCUUCCUCAUUGUCAAACCCACCGUCUCUCUUGGCUCUGACUCGUGCUUAGCACCGUCGCUUUGAGAAAGAUGGCAUUCUCGGUGGUGUAGAUAAAGAUCAGGAACGACUCAGCCCCAAUCUCCACUCCAUUAGAGUAGGCAGAGAUGGCGAUGUCAUUGCAGAGGACGAUGACAUUCUGGUUGGGGUUCCGGAUGGAGACGGCAAAAUCGAGGCGAGAGGUGAUGUUGAGGGUGGAGAGGUAGAAGGAGUCAAUGGAGAUGCUAGGUUGCUAAGGGUGGUAGAGGACAUAGAAGAUGCCGACGACAUUGGCAGCAAGGAAGGCGAUGGCAAUUAGGAAGAGGAUCAAUCGAGGCAAUAAGUGCAACAGCACCCGUCGUGAUAGGGGAGUGGAGCGUUGAAGAAAUGAACCAGGGUUAAAAAAUGGGAUUUUGGAAGAGCAUGCAAGACACUAAUUUGCAUAUUAAAGCAUAAAAGUAAUGUUAUCAUGGGAAAUCAGUGCAAUUCAUGUGAUUUGUUUCUGAUGAAUGUUUUGUGCUUACAGGAUGUAUUUACUCUGAAUUGGUUUAAUAAAUCCAGUAUACCAAAAAAUAAAAAUUUUGUAAGGGCAUAAUCCAUUUUGUUCAUUGAUAUGAUAUGUUUUAAGCUGAUGGCAAUAUGUUUAACCUAUCUCCCUCGACCAAUACACGAUCCACAUUCGAACAAUUACUUUAAGCAAACCAUCUUGGAUCUAUUAGCUCAUCGACAAGGCAAAAGCAAACACUAAUCUCCAUACAAGAAGCGUAUUAGUUUUUCUCAUAAACCUAUGUCAACACGAAUAUCCUAGUUCAUCAAGCCAUAUAAACUAACAAAACCGCCCAUAGAUUUCCCCUCCUCCAACCUAAUACCUCGCCAACUUGCAGUAAAUAAAUCACUCUAUUUGGUAAAUCCAAGGCAAUGUGGGCCAUCAAAAACCUUGUCCUUCACAUCUCAAACCACCUUCUUGGCUUGCAUUAGACUUCGUUUUUUUGGUUAGGACUUGCAUAAAGGCUUCAAAAUGACCCCUUCAUAUCGAUAACCUAAAUGCGCAAAUUAGAAAAUAAUAAAAUAAUGUCCGUUUUCUGGAACGAGCAAAGCACAUGACUUGUCACGUGGAGCCACGUCAUUUUAGCCGGUUCUGCAGGCGCAACACAAGCAACUUGAUAUUUUUCAGCAUAUGACAUACGUACCAUAGAAUCACAUGGUAAAAUUUUUCUUUCAUUUAUCGCACGAGACAAAGAAAGGUGUUGGGUUAUGGAUAUCAUAUCUCACCUACAUGAACAACCACAGCUCAUCAGAUCUGGAUGGUCCCGGGCUUUUAAUGGCUCAUCAUUCUUCAAGAGUCACAAUAUUAGCUAAACCCUAUUGGAUGAACAUCUACAUCGGCACGCUGGCUCGAUUGUUUGGAUGCCUACAGAGUAUGAGAUCUACUUGCUGCAAGUUGCACCAACAAAGAACAGCUGAAGCUUGCCUAUCCCCUCUAUAUCAAGUUGCAUAUUAUUUCAGCAAUGUCGCAUGAAGACAUACAGUAUUCUAAAGUUUUGGAGCUCUCAAAAUGAUGCUAGAGUGAUUUUUACAUGCAUGAACCAUCUUUACUUUGGUCGAUCUUAGAGGUAACGGGCAUGACUAUCCCUCUGGUGAGAUGGAUGGUGCUCAAGGAUGGCUAUAAGUUUCCCUCCUCAAUCUCUGUCAUGCAUGGCCAAUGGAUAAGGAUGGAUUUUGAGGGCAUGUGGCUAUUGUAAGAAAUUGGUUACUUUAUACGUAGUAGAAAUUAAAGAGAGGGGGAGCCCCGGUUGGGUCAGUGGGGUACAUCAGUUGGUGGAUUUUUCGCGAGUGCUUCUGACGCUUAGGCAGCCGAAUAAUUGCAAGCCUUUACGUGCAAUUCCAGGAACGUGGCGGGACCCUGCGGGCCACCUUGGGUUAGGUAGGGGCCUCGCGUCUCGCUGGAUCAGUUCCAAGCGGUGUCGAGGGCGGUCCCACCUCACCCUCCCCUAUUAUUUUUUUUUAUUUUUUAAUGCAUCUACAGCUCACACACUACGAAUUUGGUAGCAAAAUCAGAAAAUAAAACACCAUGUAAUAGCCCUGAAACCGACUCACUGUCCAUCCAAACAAAAUCACCAAAAUAGUAGGCCGCAUAUAUAGAAGACCACGCAGUCGGCUGUCUCGUUGUUAUUUUUGAAUACGUGUGAAGUCUGAUAGAAGGAGUUGCACUCUUUCAUCAAUUUACGAAUCUUCUGGAUCAACGGUCGAUCCUCAGUAGUACGUCUAUGUUUUCAGAUUCACUCGACUAUUAUGGCCGAAUCGUCCUUAAAAAUAAUAGGAUCUGCAGCCUUCCCGAUUGAAAGUCCCCAGUUGCUCUUGUUUUGUUCUGGCUCUAUUGUUAAUGCGGGACACCAGAAAUAAUCUAUUAACGUUAAAAGGAGUCCGUCCAUUUGUUUGGAUGGCAAGCUUGAGGUCAACCGUGUUGAUGGUUUCUUAUGGAAGUAAAAUAUAACAAAAAGUAAGAAGAAGAGAUUCUUUGUUAGUUGUUACUUCGCGAGACUUUUUGUGUCCUACUGUGAUGGAGAAGUGUAAUUGUUUACAGAGGGGGCGGCAUGGUGUUUCAAGUUUCAAUGUGCAAGGGAUGGAGAAAUUGAAAGUAGCUUAUCAAGAUAUAAGUAAACAGGGUGACGAUCUUAGAUAAUAAGAUUGCAUAGGAGGUUGUCUUUUGUAAGCACUUAUUAGGUGCAUUAUUUGAAUGUUUUGAUAAAUAAUUGAUGAACACAUUCCAAGGCCACAAAAUAUAGCAAAAAAAAUAGUUGUUUUAGUCCAUUUAAACUAUCAAUUAUUGGAGAGAUGACCGAUUGGAAGGCGACACAUUAAUCAUCCAAAAAAUUCGUGGACUAAAAAUUAUCAAAUUUGAAUAAAUCACUUUAUACUACCAACCAUAAUUUGGUGUGCAAAUCAAGAGAUUAAAGUUGGACAAAAUUAUACCACUAGUUUUAUUUCAAUGAGCCAACUUAUCAUUUUCCUUUUUUUUCCUUCUAUUUAAAGUCAGAAAGCUACAUACCAUCUUACAUCCGAGAUCGAAAAACUUUUUUCCAUCUUUAAAAACGAAUCUUAUAUAAAGGACCUAGGAUAUAACUGAAAAGAACAAUUAGUGAGCACAUUAUUUGUAUCUUUAUUUUGAUAUAGAACAUUACACAUCGCUGCGGAAUUAUCAUUUUUGCCCCCUCUAGUUAGCCCCUAAAAGUUCAUCAUCUAAAUAACUUAACUUUUAGUAAUUAGUCUAAUGUAACAAAAGGAUACUAGUAUUUUUUGAAACAAAAAAAUCUAGAUAGCCAUUAUCCAUUGGAUGGAAAAUAAAUACAAUACAAUACAACUUUCUUGUAUAUUUACAACUAGAGUCAUUAACAUUAAUUUUUGCACCUAACAUGAUGCUUAUAGCAGUGGCUAAUCCCUCAACCAACCAUAACCAUUUAUGAAUGGAACUUGAGGAGGCAGACAUUGUACCUCAAAACUAUUUUUCUAUUUUCAUAAAUAUCAGCGUAGAUGUCACAUAAUCGACCCAGAAAUGCUAAACAAAUGUCCAUUCUCUAAGAAAAAAUAAUUUAUGGCUACAAUUUUUUAUUUUAUCUCCAUCUUUAAUAUUUGUGCCAAUCACAUCAGGCUACAUUGUAGAUGGAAUAUUUUAAGACCCUGCGUGCUCUGCGAGUCUCUGCCAGCGAAUGCAGCGAAAGAGCGGCCGGAGCACGUGAUCGCCGUGCUUUGAGAAUCGUGGGCCCCCCGGAUCCGCCAACGGAUUUUAUCGGAUUGGCCCGCCGGAACCUGGAGUCCGCGCCUGCGUGCGCGCCAGCUCAGCACGAGGUCACCCCGGCCGUGCGGACCGGAUCCGGGUCGAAACCCUGCGGAUCCGAAACUCGUAGGGACGCAUCGGAUUCGGGCGAGGCGAUUAUCCCGCGAGCGGCGAUUCCUCGGCGCUGGCACUCGUCGGGUUUGGAGUUUGAUUACGUCGGUGGUGGUCCCACGGGAGAAGCGGACGGUCAGGCGUGUUCCGGUGGGUUGGAUCAUGGAUGGGUCCUUGUCGGUUGAAAGUUCCAGAUGCUGGAGCGAGACCAGAGCCGUCCAUCUCGGCAGGAUGCGUCACACCAGAGCACUGGUGAGGGCUCGGUUCACGGGAGGUCUCGCGUUGGAACGUUCUGCACGCCAAGGAUAGUCCAAGUGCCAAAAUGCCAAAUCCCUCUUUUCGAAAAUGAAAAAGUUUUUUUUUAUAAAAAAAAGUUUCAAAAUAAAUCCAAAAUCAAUCUGAAAAAGAAAAAAAUAAAAAACCUAAAAAAGCUCUAAAAAUACUCUUGAAGUUUCCAAGGAUUCACAUCUCUGAGCUUGCAUCAAGGAUGAAACAUAUGACAAUCAUGCAUUCAUCUCGGCGUGCAUUGAGUAUUGACACGUCACUCAUGUGGUAUAUCGGUAUCGAAUCGAUAUUUAUACAGUACGAUUUAUACCAUUUAAUUUGGACUGAUAUGGUGUACCAGACUUUCUAAUUUAUAACUACCAUGUAUUGAUAAAUAUAUUGUAUAGAUCUAAUUACAAUACUUAGAUCUUCUAUCUAAAAGGUUUUUUUAAAAAAAAAACUUGAUGGGGUGGCUUAUAAAAUGAUAACUAUUGUGAUAUGAAUUUUUCAUCGACAUGGAAAUGAUUAGACUAAUGGAAUGAUAUUUUAUCAAUUUUAUGGUUCAUGCAGGUCAAAAAAAAAAAAGUAUGCCUUACUAAUUAUUUUCACGGGACAUGUUUGAAAGAUCAUCCAUCCUGUUGCUGGAAAUUGGAGUGACCAGUGGCUGAGAAGAAGGAGCUCCGGCGAGAGUUGGCGAGUGGUGGUCCGUCGGCGGACGGCGUCCUCCGGGAGACCUAUAAAAAGCUGGUGGCCAGGAUUUUCGGCGUCGGCCCUCCGAUGCUUAAGUCAAAGGGGGCUAAUGUGUAGAAGAAGAGGAAGUAUUUUUUUGAGUUUCAGAGUCCAGCCCCGCUCUAAGAGGGAGGGAUUUUCCUUUUAUAGAGGGGUACAGGAUUACCUGUGAUGUGAUGGGGCGAACGGGUUACCGUCAUGAUUGAACAUGUCGUGUAAAUUAAUGCACGAUCGUGUGAAUUAAUGCAUUGCCGUGGGAGAUCAGGCCGAAGCUAGUGAGUCGUUGUGGCUAACCGAACGUAGCUGAGUGGGUCAAUUGUUUGCCGUGGAGGGCUUGAGAUCCGUAGAUAGCGUGCGCAUUGAUUGUUGAGUGAGCUGGAGAUCAACGGGGGUCAUGCGCAUUGAUUGUUGAGUGAGCCGGAGAUCUGCGGAGGCCAUGUGCAUUAAAUGUUGCAGGGCAUGGUCCCCGGUUGAGCACUCGAGCUGCAAAAGGAUGUGACCGUAGCAUGUGGAUAGUGAGGUCAGGCUUCCAAGAUCAAGGAUGCUGAGGUUGAAUAUCUAAGUCGGACGCCUUGAGGUCGAAUAUCCAGGUCGGAUGCCUUGAGGUCGGGCGCCUUCAGAUCAGGCGCCUUCAGGUCGGGCGCCUUCAAUCAUGUGCUGGCAAUGCACUCACGGGGCGAUUUAUUUUUUCCCCAACACAUCCAACUUUGGCUGAACAUCCAUUACAUUAUAACUAAUUAAUAUCAAUAAAUGCUAAAACCAAGUAUAACUACAAGGUGGUUGGUUACAAUAUUGAUGUGUCAUUGUUGAAGUAUAGAUCGGCAUAUGUAUCAACUAUCUCGCGAUACUUAUCCUGUACACGGUGACAUUGCUCGAAAGUCAAAAGUUCAUUACGUUAUCUAAUAUGUAUCCAUUUAAUAUCUAUUCAUAAGUGAUUUAUCAAUCAAUGCUGAAUUUAAUGAUAUAAUAGCGAUCAGUUAUACAAUUAAUGUGCUAUUAAUUUUGUUGAUGAGUAUGCGAGAAGUAUGUGUUUUGUAGUGUAAAAUGACCAUCUCAAGUAUCAGGAACGUUAUGGCAAACCAAAUUUAAUAACUUGAAUCUUCUAUUUAAUAAAACAAAUCAAAUUUCAUCACUGUUUAUAUUUUUGUUUACUCAACUGUUCAUGCUGACAGUUGCUAACUUAGCUAGUAGUCGCCUAGCUCUCCAGGAGAAAAUUUUUGGUCUCAGUUACAAAGUGAUUAAAAAAAAAAAUUGCUCUGAAAAAAUCUAUAACAGAUUAAUGAUAUCGGAAAUGAAUGAUAAUGAUAACAGUGAUGGACUAAAAUAUCAAUACAACACAUUGUCUUCUAGCUAACAACAAAUCUUUUGAGAAUCCACUGGCUGAAAGUUCUGAUAUUAUCACGUUAGGUGAGUUUAAAAAGAGUCAUGCCAAAUUCCAUGAAGUAAAAAAGCAAAAUAAGAAAAAUAAAAGACGUAAGUAGAGGCAUUUCAUGUAUAUAGAAAGAUGACAAAAAGAUUACAAUCUAGGCUUUUUAUAUAGUUUACAAGAGAGGUGAUAUGUUUUUUAGGCGAGAAGAAACUAGAUUAUGAUCUUUCUAGGUACAUUCUAUGUGCAUUUGGCGGUUCUAUAUUUGCACAUAAUUUUUUAGAGGCUUUUUCUUAGCACAAAUUUCAAAGACUUUAGCACAUUCAUAAAACUGCAGGCUAACCCUCGACACCAUCGUUACUUGAAAAUUUUAUUCUCAAGAAAAUAAUAAAUAAUUUUCCUCGGUUACAAAUCUAGAUCACAUGGGCAUUUGAACCAAGGUGUCACAAAUCUAAUAUCAUGGUGCAUUAUAGAGAAAAUGCUGUUAUCUAUACUUUUUUAUACGGUUCAUAAAGAGGUUGCAAUAUUUUUUUCAAAACCUAAGUGUGCUAUCACUUGAAAAAAAAACUUAUUCUAUAAUUUUUCUAUAUACAUUCGAUAUGCCUUUUGCCGGGUUUUACUCAGCAUACAAUUUUUUUAGUGCUCUUUUCCAUCCCCUUUUUAAAUAAUCUUGGAUAGUACUAAGAAACCCUCCAUUUAAUUGUAAUUUAAAAUUUAUACUUUUUUUAAAAAAAUAUAGGUAUAAUUCAUCUGGAUUAUGAUAUAUGUCAUAAUUUUUUUUAUUGGUACAACGGUAGCUCGUCCAUAUCGAGCAUAGAACCAACCAGUUAAAUCAAAAAAAAGCAUGAGGCACCACCGCGCGAGCAGUCUAAAUAAAGAAUCCAGCGUGGUGGGCAGUGAAUGAGUCACUCGGUCUACCGUAUUAUUUGCUUUUUUAUAAAUAUAUGUGAUUUUAUAUAUAUUACAUACAGUUAAGAGCUUGCGAAUAUAGCAUACCAGCGAUAUGAAACCAGCAUUAAGAUUUUAUAAUUCACCGGACAUUAUUACACAACAUUCCAUGGCUGCUUAUUUUGCACACACUUUAUUUAUUUUAUGCUUUUGUUUUUUCUCUUCUACUUAACUCGGUAAAUAAAAAAUAAAUGGAACAGACCGAGAGAUAAAAUUUGAACGGCGGCAGCCUCUUGCGACCCGGCGAGUGGAAGUUGAAAACAGGGGUGGAAAGGUAAAUAUCUCUUGACUUGACGAGAGACUCGAUGUUAGAAUUCUGACAAACUCGCCGAACCGUCAAAAACUCGGGCUGGAUAAAAUGAGAAAAAGUCGGAGCUCUGAAGUCCGAACCAACUCGAAAUAUUAAAAAAACCUUCUAUUUUCAGCAAACGCGAACUAAAGAAACCCAUCAACGGCUGUCCGCUUCCCAGCUACAAAACCCGAACCCGAAAAAGGAUAAAUGCUCUCCAUCUUCAUAAAAGAGUUCGUUUAUUUAUAGCAUACCGAGAGUCAAGGGGGGUGCACUUCAGGAAAAUACGGGAAGUGGUUAUCAAAUUCUGUCAGCUAGGAGAAAAACCGGCACCAGCGGCCGAGAGCGGUAUUGGUGGGGAGAAACAGGGGGAGAGAGACGGGAAGGGAGAUGGACCCCACCAAAGCUAAAGGUGGGAUCUUUUUUCGGGUAUAAAAGGGGCCUCAGGGGGAUGGCUUCCUUCAUCCCAUUGCCCCCAACUCCGUUCACUCCGUUUUCUUGAUCCCCUUUCUCUGUUGCGUUGUUUCGUUUCUCUUGUUUUCGUUCUUUUCUUCUCUCUUUGGGGCGCCAUUGGGGUCUCUCGGGAAGGUAAGGGUCUCUUCUCUAGUCUCUGCUUGGGAGGGAGUGCUGGUCUUCUGGGCUUAGGGGGGGUCGGGGAGUUUUCUGCGAGUACGGGGGAGUAGCUGCCCGUUUUCCACGAUAGGACUCUGUUACUGUUCCGAUCUGGUGAAAGAUUUCGACUUCCUUUGGUGUCGAUCUUGUUUUCAUGGCAAAGAUCGGUUUCUUUGCGAGUAGUUUGGUCCAGUUGCAGCAAAAAACCCUGGGUUUAUUCUCUGAUCUCGUCAAAGUUUUUGAGUUUCUUAAACUUGCUGAUCUUGUGUGCAUGGGAAAGAGACGUUCUUUUCGGAUUUUUUUAUUUUUUGGUUCGGUUGCAGCGAAAAACUCUGUUCCGUGUAAUCUGGUGUCUUUCGUGCCGAUCUUGGUGGCAUGGAAAAAGCUGUUUCUUUUCGAGUAGCUUGGUUAGAUUUAGGUAAAGAAACUCUGUUCUUUUGCAAAAUCUGGUGCAGGAUUUCGACUCUUCUUCUUGUCGACUACUACAUCUUGUUUGCAUGAAAAAGAGAGCUGUUCUUUUCGAGUAGUUCUGGUUCUAUUGCCGCCGAAACCUAUUUCUUUCUCCGAUCUGGUGAAAUAUUUUGAGUUUCUCGUGUACCGAUCUCGUCUGCAUGGUUUUUUAUCGAGUACUUUGUUUCGAUGACGGCAUCUCUUUUUUCUCUCUCUGAUCUGGUGAAAGAUUACGACUUUCUUUCGUACUGAAUACCGAUCUCGUUUGCAUGGAACAAAUCUGUUCUUUUUGGAGUAGUUUGGAUUGAUGACGGCCCAACACUGUUUUUUCUCCAAAAUCUAGUAAGAAAUAGGGUAGCUUCGGUCGGUCGUCGCUGAGUAACUGAAAAAUUUUUGCCUUCUUCCCACUUUUGAUCAGAGAUCUUCUCAGUAGUAACGUUUUUCUACAAGCUAUAUUCUUUUCUCCAAACUUAGUUAGGAUCUCGUCUGAUUUAAGUUGUCUAGUCGAGUAUAAGCAGAGAUCUUUUGAGAAAUCUGUGAAGAUUCGGCAAAAUAUCAUAAUUUGGUGGCAGAUCUGGUUUCUUCUUGAUUAUUUGCCAAAAAAAUCCUUCUCUUUAGAACUUCCUAUCUUGUUUUCUUUUAGAUCCCGUCCUCUCUUUCCACAAAUAUGGUUUUUUUUUAAUUUUUUGUAUAAACUCAGGGUUUCAUAGGAAACUGAACUACUUAUUGAAGGCCAAAAAUGAUACUUUUGCUCUCAGUUCAUAUUGCAAGCAUCUGCAAUUUCUUCUUCUUCUUCUUCGUCUUCUUCUUCUUCUAACUCUUUUCAUUAUCAAUUUCUUUGUAUAUAUGUAUGCAUGUAUUUUAAAUUAAGUUUCUGCAAUUUAUUAGUAAAAAAAUUCUAAGUUUCUUACUUAUGUUUCUGCAUUUUUAGUAAAAAAUUCUAAGUUUCUUAAUAUGUAUCCUUUCCUUUAGCUGAAGCAAGUUUUUCUUCCCUUUCCCUGGUCACCCUUUUGCUCUCUAAUGGAUAAGCAUGCGAGUUCCUCUGUCUCUGUCUUCUCUCUUAUUAAUAACAGUUAAAAAAAAUAACUUAAGUUUUUGUCGGUUUGAAAGCUUUUUCCAAGGAGAUCCGGAGAAACCAAAGAACUGUUACAGCUUUGAGCUUGGAGGGUCUCGUUUCUCUCGUGUUCGGAAUGCGAUACAGCUUGUUUUGUGUCGGAAAAAUAGAUCUCUGUUCGGAAAACGCCGUUUGGCACCUGCCACCUGCCACCUGCCACCUGCCCUUCCUCGCUCACUCUGACCGCAAUUCCUGUCGUUUUAUGGAGCCCAUCUGUCAGUAUUGGUGGUAGUUUAAACUACUAUUCAUUUCGACCGACUGCAUAUAUCAGAGAGGAAAAGAGUCUAUCUUAAUUAACAUUUAAUUCCCCUCCUUGUAUCUAUAUCUAAUUGUCUCAGUUAUUAAUUUUUACCAACUUUAUCUGUUCUAGAUUUAAUAUCCUUCUGAGAUCUGCACUUGUCUCUGCUUCUGGACUUUGGAUUUACCUUUUUUUUCAUUAUUUUAAUGUAAACAUCCCUUUUAAGUUUGCAUUAUCUUUAUUUUAUUUUAUUUUAAGAUAUGAUCAAAAUUUCAAAUUUGUUUGUAUUUGGUGCCGUAAUGUCAAAAAUUUUAGGUGCGUGUGGAGGGGUUUUUAGACCUGUGGGUUUUAGAUUUUCUUCUGGGUCGUCUUAUUUUGAUUUUUUCCCCCCCUUAAAAUCUCUUUGAUAGUAGUCUUGCUUCCAGUUGUUUCUGAUCUGAUAGGCUUUGGUUGCUGUUUUCUUCCUUGUUUUUUGCUUUUGUUGUGCUGUAGUCUGAGGCUUGAAGAAGGAAACAACAGAAGCCAUGGCAACUCCUCCUUUGAGUCGCAUUCACAGUGUGCGGGAGCGCCUCGGUGACACUCUGUCUGCCCAUCCGAAUGAAUUGGUGGCCCUCUUCUCAAGGUUGUGUCUUAACUCCCUUUGUGUUUUACGAUUCCUCUGGAAAUUUUCUGAUAUUUAAUGUUUGCAUCCAUGAUUUUUUGUCAAUCUGGAGGGUUAAAUACUUAGAUUUAGACAUUUGAUGGAUAUUAAACAUAUAAAUGAAUGCUCAAACUACUGUGGAGACAGCUUUCUAUGCUUUUAAUGUUUGAAGACCAAGAUCAGUGAACUAAUCACCCAGCUGCAUAUCUUCUUUCCCCAAAGUUUUCUCUUCCUGUUCUCAUAACCUCAAUUAUUUAUGGCAUGGAUUAUCCUGCAUAAUUAUCUAAGUCCUUUUGAUUGCAUGAUUCAUCCUGGAUCACUGGAAACGCUCACUGGCUUUCUUGUGAUAUAUGUUCUUUAGUGCACAGGUUAUGAGGAUUUCUGAUGGGUUAUCUGAUCGUUCUUUUCUUUGCAGGUUUGUUAACCAGGGAAAGGGAAUGCUGCUGCCUCAUCAGUUGUUAGCUGAAUACGAAGCUGUAAUACCCGAAGGGGAUAGAGAAAAGCUGAAGGAUGGGGUCUUUGAGGAUGUUCUGAAAGCUGCACAGGUGAAGCAUAGCUGGAACCUACUGCAUCGUGUUAUGCUUAACUUCUAAAAUCUUGUUCUUCAUUGUGUUAUGUAUUGUUUUUGUGAUACAGGAAGCCAUUGUUUUGCCUCCAUGGGUUGCUCUUGCUAUUCGCCCCAGGCCUGGUGUCUGGGAGUAUGUACGGGUAAAUGUGAGCGAGCUUGCUGUGGAAGAGUUGACUGUGCCCGAGUACUUGCAGUUCAAGGAAGAACUUGUGGAUGGAAGGUAGGAGAUACGAAUCCAAUAGAUCGUUUUCCAUGGCAAAACUAAUGUAUUUUGAUUAAAUCAUCAUAUUUAGUUGAGUAACUUAUUUCUGCCCUUUUUUCCUUUCCAUCUUUCAGUAGCCAAAAUAACAACUUUGUGCUGGAGCUGGACUUCGAGCCCUUCAAUGCUUCUUUCCCUCGUCCCUCGCUUUCAAAAUCCAUUGGCAAUGGAGUGCAAUUCCUUAAUCGUCAUCUUUCCUCAAAGUUGUUCCAUGACAAAGAAAGCAUGUACCCAGUACUUAAUUUCCUCCGAGCACAUAACUACAAGGGGACGGUAAACUUUCUACAGCUGUAUAAUGCAUCUAUCUGUUUUCUUUCAUUUUUUUUUUUUCUAAAGUUCAUUUUGAUGAAUCUCUGCUUUUAUAAGAUCUGUGGUCCUGUUAAGAAUCCAGAAUGAAACAUAAUAAGAAGACCUCCAGUAUGAUGUGAGCAAUAACCUGAACCAAGGGAUAUGAUAUUAAGAAUUUGAUCCAAUGCAAAAGUAUUUAGGCUGAUCAAUUGAAUAUUUUACAAGCAAUUAUGUAAUGGAAGAGUUUCCCAUCAAAACUAGAUUGUUGUUAUUUUCUGUAAUAAGUAUUAUAUAAAUUUAACAGCAGUAGAUAAUAGUGUUUUCAAUCAGUGAUAGAUCUUGAUGUUAAUCUGCUGUGGAUGGUCAAACAUUAGCAGAACUUUUGCACUGGUGAAUGGGGAAAAAUCAACACCCUUUACCACCGGGAUUUCCUGUUUGGUGCUUUCGGUUUCAUCCUAGGAUCAUAUUGUAUAAACCAUCUGAGCUAUUGAUCUUAAUUUAUUGCUGACAAAUUUUAAGUUCUAUGCUAAUUUUAUUUAAGCUACAUAAAUCAUCCAAGUGUUAAAAUUUUAAUGUGUUUCUAAUUAAGUUUAAGUCCUACACUAAUAUUAUUGUUAUGCCAUGCAGUCGAUGAUGCUAAACGAUAGAAUUCACAGCCUUAGUGCUCUCCAAGCUGCACUAAGGAAGGCCGAGGAAUAUUUGUUGAGUAUCCCAUCAGACACCCCAUACUCGGAAUUCAACCACAGGUAAAUUCUGUGCCAUUAUUUCUGUGGUUAUUGAUGAUAUUGAAGUAUGUUACCCACAGAUUCUUAUGCAGUUGAAAGUUUAAGUCAUCACAGCUGCUCACAUUGUUUCCCAUUUGCAUGAUGUUAGAUUUCAAGAGCUUGGUUUGGACAAGGGCUGGGGUGACACAACUCAGCGUUGUCAUGAGACCAUCCAUCUCCUUCUAGAUCUUCUGGAGGCACCUGAUCCGUGUACCUUGGAGAACUUCCUGGGGACGGUUCCUAUGGUGUUUAAUGUUGUCAUCCUUUCUCCUCAUGGCUACUUUGCCCAAGCUAAUGUCUUGGGGUAUCCUGACACUGGUGGCCAGGUAUAAUUCUAAAAUAAAAUUGAGUUAGAAAUAUAUCUGAGCUCACUUCUUUAACAUACAAAACCUUAAAUCUUAAUUUGCAGGUUGUUUAUAUUUUGGAUCAAGUUCGUGCUUUGGAGAAUGAGAUGCUACAAAGAAUAAAGAAACAAGGGCUCGAUAUCACACCUCGUAUUCUCAUUGUAAGUUCAAAUUGAUUUCUGGCGGGUUUCUUGUAAUGUUCUUUGUUUAUUUCCAAUAUAUAGAAAUCAUGGAGAAUGUCAUGGUGUCAAUUUAGUAACAAUAUGGAAUGGUCCACACUUGUAAUGGUCUUCUGACGUGACUCCCCUGUGAUCUAUUGCAGGUGACCAGAUUGCUACCUGAUGCAGUAGGCACCACUUGUGGUCAGCGUCUUGAAAAGGUCCUUGGAACAGAGCACACACACAUCCUUCGAGUUCCAUUUAGAACAGAGAACGGGAUUAUCCGGAAAUGGAUCUCACGUUUUGAAGUAUGGCCUUACCUGGAGACCUAUGCUGAGGUACAUCUUUCAUCAAUCUUUCUAAGCUUCCUCUCUGCACUUGCUUCCCAUUCAAUACCUUUCAGUUAUGAAAGAAAAUUUAUAUCGUUUUCCUUUGCGCUGUAGGAUGUUGCACAUGAACUAACAGGAGAAUUGCAAGCCAAGCCAGACCUGAUAAUUGGAAACUACAGUGAUGGAAACCUAGUAGCUUCUUUAUUGGCGCAUAAACUGGGAGUUACUCAGGUUUUGAUACUAGAACAUCAUUGACCCCUGGCUCUACUUAAUGGUGGUUAUUUUUUCAUCUGAAUUAAUAAUCUUUGUUCUUCCACAUGUAGUGCACCAUCGCCCAUGCCCUGGAGAAAACAAAGUAUCCAAAUUCAGAUAUAUACUGGAAGAAGUUUGAGAACCAGUAUCACUUCUCUUGCCAGUUCACAGCUGAUUUAAUUGCAAUGAACCAUGCGGACUUCAUCAUCACGAGUACCUUCCAAGAGAUUGCUGGAAGGUUGCUGUUCAUGCCGAUAGUGUCUUAAUGCACUAAUUUUUCGUUCAUAUUAAGAUGCAAAAAAUGCUACCGUUACCUGACUGGUUUCUUUUUAUGUUCUUCUGUUAUUUCAGCAAGGAUACUGUGGGACAGUAUGAAUCUCACACUGCCUUCACUCUUCCUGGGCUCUACCGCGUCGUGCAUGGGAUUGAUGUCUUUGAUCCAAAAUUCAAUAUCGUAUCCCCUGGAGCUGACAUGUCCAUCUACUUCCCGGCCACAGAGCAGCACAAGAGGCUCACCUCCCUCCAUCCAGAGAUCGAGGAGUUGCUUUACAGUUCUGUCGAGAAUUCUGACCACAAGUGAGAGCGUGUCUGCAUUACCUGCAUGUCUUUCCGUAUGUUAUUGUUCAAUUUAGUUAUUGACUCUUGAGGUUCUUGCAGGUUUGUUUUGAAGGACAGAAACAAACCCGUUAUAUUCUCCAUGGCAAGGCUGGACCGAGUGAAGAACAUUACCGGUCUAGUUGAGUUGUACGGCAGGAAUCCUCGUCUGAGGGAAUUGGUUAACCUUGUAGUGGUGGCUGGAGACCAUGGAAAAGAAUCCAAAGAUCUUGAAGAGCAAGCAGAGAUGAAGAAGAUGUACAGUCUCAUCGAACAGUACAAAUUGGCUGGUCACAUCCGAUGGAUCUCUGCUCAGAUGAACCGUGUUCGCAAUGGUGAGCUCUAUCGGUACAUUUGUGAUACCAAGGGAGCUUUCGUGCAGGUAUUCUUCAUCUUCUUAAAAGUAAAAAAAGAACAUGAUUGAUUUGUUCGCAUUUGAUAUAAUAUUUCUCACUCUUUCUCUGUUUUCUUUUGUUUAGCCCGCCUUCUAUGAAGCUUUUGGGCUCACUGUUGUUGAAUCCAUGACAUGUGGACUGCCCACAUUUGCGACUUGCUAUGGAGGGCCUGCCGAGAUCAUAGUGCAUGGGGUGUCUGGCUUCCACAUUGAUCCUUAUCAGGGGGACAAAGCAUCUGAACUGCUCGUAGAUUUCUUCGAGAAGUGCAAGGAAGACCCGAACCACUGGAACAAAAUCUCGCUAGGAGGGUUGCAGCGUAUUGAAGAGAAGUAAACAUGAUAUUUUCUUCGAACAACACUCUUUCAUGAAUUGAAGGAGCUUGUAUGGAAGAUUCAAGACUUAAAAUCUUUUUAUUUUGUGCUCUUCUUGGAAUUAAUGCAGGUACACUUGGAAGCUCUAUUCCGAGAGGUUGAUGACCUUAUCCGGUGUUUAUGGCUUCUGGAAGUACGUCUCAAACCUGGAUAGGCGUGAGACCCGUCGUUACCUCGAGAUGUUCUAUGCCCUCAAGUACCGUAACUUGGUAAGUCAGAUUCAUUGAUGGGUCUACUUGUUGCUUGAGAGACCUGAUGCGUUUCCUUCUCACCGCUGGUCUGCUUUGUUUCAAUGUCUAAUUUCAGGCAAAGUCUGUUCCUCUGCAUGUUGAUGGAGAUAUUGCAGCCAAUGGCACUAAGUAGUCUGGAUGGGAGGCAAGCACGAGUUCUGUUGUCAGCUUUUUUUGAUUUAAGAGAUUUAGGAGUAACUUUGCUUUCUGAGUUCUUGUUUGCGCCAUUGUUGCUUAGAGCUGAUUUUGGAGCAAUUUGAGAGUGUUUGCUGUUGCUUUUUAAUUUCCAUGUUAUGUAAGGCUUAACUGCCUUUUGUUAUUUAAUAAAAUAAGUAAUAUUUUCUUUCUCAAAAAUUUGAAAAAUUGGAUAAAAAAGUAUGCUACUCAACUUUUGAUGCAUCAUGAGUAUUGUGCAUGGUGACAAGAAUUUCUAGUCUCUGUACAAUUGGGACAACAUUUUGUGAUGCUUGGUUCAUGUCCAAGUUAUGUCGUUUCCGAUUGAUUAGCUGGUGGAAGGUUUGCAGUGGUGUAGGUUGCAUCGUACCUUAGAGAGAAAUGGAGUAUGCAAAAAAAAUUACCAGUUUCUAGAGGUACUCUAGGGAAGUGAAAGGCCAUCUUUUCUUUUUACUAGAUGUUAGAAUCUUCUGGGGUAUUGCCUGUUGGAUUUUGUCUGCAAUAUUUUGCAAUUAGCCAUGCGCGCCCCACCUCGCCCCGCUGGAAAAAAAAAAGAGAAUCUUUCUUGCUUUUAAGAAAGUUGCUCCACCGUUCAACUUCCUCUGUGAUUUGUCUUGCUUGACUUCAUUGGCAUCAAAGCAUAGUAUCUUUUCUCCUUUUCUUUUCCCUCCCAAUUCUGUAAAGACUGCUUAAAUAUCAUAUCUCAUGGACACAAAGUUUAGAAUGCUUUUGGGAAAUAGAUGAGAAAAUUGUGCAGUAAGUGUUGCUUUUGCACUUGGGUCAAACGUCUACAACGCCUGAACUGAUCACGUUGGUGGCACCAAGUGCAUUUUUUCUUUCUGAAAAUUCUUUUCAAGUUUCUGUAAAUAAUUAGGAGUAAACUGAUUCUUCUCUUUAUAUGUUUCCUUGGCAUGGUGUAAAACAAAGCUGCCUGUUAUGGUAAACUAGUUUGUUCUGUUCUCUAUUAUAUAGAUUUCCUUAUGAGAGUUUUUGGCGAUACUUCCAUGUUUAACUUGAUUCAGUCCAUUGUAGGUUGGGUUGGAUUGCCAGUUUAAUAAAAUGGUGAGAUUUGUGUCCAAAUAUUUGACCCAUUUAAUAGACAAGUCAGGUUCGGAAUAACAAAUUUUUGAUCUAACCUGUAUCUGACCUGACCCAUAUCUCGCCCGACCCGAUCCAGUUAUCACCUAAAAUAUCCAUCAUAACUCAGGACGUCAUCCAAAAAGGCUAGUCAUAAUAUAUUAUUUGGAUUUUUUAGUUCUGUAUAAGUAUUCAAGAUCUAUCCAGAUGUAGGACUAAACACAUGUCCACACAAAUUCGCACAUAUUCUUCUGGUUCAAGUCCUGGCGUCCUUCUCAAUUAACAGUCUAAAUUAAUUCAAUUCUAAUCACAAGCACCACAAUACAAUAUAGAUAUGUGCUGCAGUUUCUUCUAGUCUACAUAGGCUAUGGCCAGGAUUUACUCUGAUACCAUUUGUCAUAACUCAUGACCUUACUUAAAAAGCUAGCCAGUAUAUUAUUCGAAUUUUUUGGUCCUGUUUAAGUACCAAAGAUCUACCUAGUGCAUAGCCGAUUUGGGACUAAACACAUGCCCCUCACAAUAUCAGUCUUUCUUUUAUCUGAGGUUACUGUUCUCGGCUUUCCUACAUGACCACCCUUUUCUCAUUAGAUAAGCAUACAAUCUCUCUGAUUUUCUCUAUUAUCCUAUGGAGAAAAUAGUUUAAAGAACUUCAGUUUUGUUUUUUAUGUCCUUGAAUCCUUUUCCAAUAGCUUCGAAGACUCCAGAGAACUUUAGCUUUUAGUCUGGAAGCAUUCACUUCCCUGCCUAAUGUAUCAUAACCAUUUAGCGUUGGAGAAAGAGCUCUGUGUUCAGAAAAGUCGACACCUGCCACCCCCUUUUUCCCCACCGACUGGUUUUUUCUGUAACCAACUUCUCAGUAUUGAUAUUGACUCAGAAAAACGUUACCUCUUAGAAAUUAAUGAGUAACGCACAUAUUGAUGGUUGUUUUAAGUUUCAGUUCUUUUCAACUGAUGCACUGUCGCUUGUCAGUUCUAGCAGAGAAGAAACUAAAAAAAAUGUUGUUAACAAAUUUGUAGUUCCCUUGAUUGUAUCUCUAUAUAUAGGUACUCUUCUCAGUUUUGACUGUCACACUCUCAUCCACCUCUAUUCUCUAAGAUCUGCAACUUCUCUGCUUGUAGGAUCUUAAGCUCUAGGUGAGCAGACUCUGAAGUUUUUUCUCUGAAAAUUUUCCUUUUAAUUUGUUUAAAUCCUUGGCUUUGUUUGAUUCUUGAUUAUUUUGGGUUGCUCUUAUCUAAUUCCUAAGAUAAUCAUCUAAUUUACAGAAGUCGUCUUUUAUCUGUUUAUCAUCUAUUAUCUGAUUAUUUAUUUGCAUGGAUAAUGGUCAAAUUUUAAAUUUGCUGUGUUUGAUGCUUUCACGUCAAAAAUCUAGUGCAAGGGGCGUGUGAUUCAGGAGAGAGUUUUGGGUGAUUUUUUGCAUGGUAAAUUUCAUUCAGUGGUUUCUAAAAUGUUCAGUUGCUCUCUUCUUUUUUGUUUUCAUUGAAGUCUGAGGCUUUUUGAGGCUUGAAGGAGGAAAGAAGAGAAGCCAUGGCCAACUUUGCAUUGAAUCAAAUCUACAGUGUUCGGGAGCUCCUUGGUGAUUCUCUUUCUGCCCAUCCAAAUGAACUGGUUGCCCUUUUCUCAAGGUUUUGACUCUGUUUCUGUAAUGUAACUCUUGUGAAAAUUUUCAGAUAGAAACUGAUCCUUUAAUAACUUGUUUCAAGCUAUAUGGAUUAGAACUAGCCUUCUUUGAUUGGUACAUUGGUUGUUCUUGUUACGAUACCAAGCACCUUUGACUCAUAGUCCAGUUCUCUUUUUCCACAUGAAGAAUGCAAUUGAUCAUUUAUAGCCUGGACUGCCCUUCUCGUUUAGUUAUAACCUUCUUGAUUACUCAAUUUCAUCAAUAGGUUUUUUUUUUUUUCCACACAGGUUUUGUUGCACCAAGCACUGUAUGUGAUUUGAUUCAUAUAUCAUGAGCAUUGAUGACGAAAGAUAUCUUUUUUUUUUAUAUAAAUUUAUUCACAGGCUUGUUAGCCAGGGAAAGGGAGUGCUGCAAUCCCAUCAGUUGUUAGCUGAGUAUGAAGCUGUAAUACUUGAAGCAGAUAGAGAAAAGCUGAAGGAGGGGUUCUUUGAGGAUGUUCUACAACAUGCACAGGUUCUGUACAGUGAAGACCUGCGCCAUGUUAUGUUCUAACUUCCAAGUUGUUGAUAGUUCCAUGGUGCAUUGGUUUGUGAUACAGGAAGCAAUUGUGAUACCUCCGUGGGUUGCUCUUGCUAUUCGCCUGAGGCCUGGAGUCUGGGAGUAUGUACGGGUUAUUGUGAGUGAGCUUGCUGUGGAAGAGUUGAGUGUGCCAGAGUACUUGAAGUUCAAGGAAGAACUUGUGGAUGGAAGGUAGGUCAUAUUGUUCUAACAUUAUCAUGUUCCUUGUUCACUCUGUCACAUAUAGCCAAGUAGCCUCUCUCUCUCUCUCUCUCUCUAUACAUCUCUCGUAGGGUAAAGUUACUCUUUCCUUUUCUUCCUUUUCAGUACGACCNNNNNNNNNNNNNNNNNNNNUCCUCUCUCUCUCUCUCUCUCUAUACAUCUCUCUGGGAAAGUUACUCUUCCUUUUCUCCUUUUCAGUAGCCAAAGUAGCUUCACCCUGGAGUUGGACUUCGAACCCUUCAAUGCUUCUUUUCCUCGUCCCUCAUUGUUGAAAUCCAUCGGCAAUGGAGUGCAGUUCCUUAAUCGUCAUCUUUCCUCAAAGUUGUUCCAAGACAAAGAAAGCAUGUAUCCACUGCUGAAUUUCCUCAGGGCAUGUAACUAUAAAGGGAUGGUAAAUUUUUCACUAUAACUGCAUGAUUCAUUCAUCUAUGAUAUCUUAUUUUCCUAAAAUAGAAUGAACAAAUCUCUCCUCUUUGAUUUUUUUAAAUUUUUUAAAAAUUUUAAAAUAGAAUGACAUAAUCUUCCUCUUUUAGCAGUUCUUUUGUCCUUAUAACACUUUGGAACCAAAAUGAAAAGACAUGCAAUAUGAUGUGUGAGUGGUGAAGUAACAUGGCGACAUUACUCAUAACAAUGCAUAUUUAAUGGGAUCAGGAUAUCAAGAAUCUCAUCCAAUCCAAAACUAUUUAGGCAAAUCAACUGGAAAAGAAACAAAUCCACAUAUAGACGACAGUUAUUUAUUUCCAGGAAGUAUUAGGUGAAAUUGCCAUAAAUAGAUAGUUUGCAUUUCCAAUCAAAGAUAAUCAUGGUGUUAAUAUGUUAGUGAUAGGUCAAAUGUUAGCAAACCUUUUUAUCAAUAAACAGGAGCAAAUCAGCACUUCAGUUUCCUGUUUACCACUUUCUUUCUAAGACUAUGUUAUAUAAGUUGUUAGAGUUGUUAAUACUUCAGUUUAUUUCUGACUAGUAGUAAUGUUAUUCUUGUUAUGUUAUGCAGUCGAUGAUGCUGAAUGAUAGAAUUGGCAGCCUCAGUGCUCUCCAAGUUGCACUAAGGAAGGCAGAGGAAUAUCUGUUGAGUGUCCCUUCGGAAACUCCAUCCUCAGAAUUCAACCACAGGUAAAUUCUGUGGUGUCGAUUUCGGAGUUAUUGAUGAAACUGAUGUCAGCCAAAGAUUUCUUAUACAGCACAAAGUUUGUUAAGUUGUUCAACUGCUUACAUUGUUUCCCACUUGUAUGAUGUUAGAUUUCAAGAGCUUGGCUUAGACCAGGGCUGGGGUGACACAGCUCAGCGUUGUCAUGACACUAUUCAUCUCCUCCUAGAUCUUCUGGAGGCACCUGAUCCAUGUACCUUGGAAAACUUCCUUGCUAUGGUUCCUAUGGUGUUUAAUGUUGUCAUUCUUUCUCCUCAUGGCUACUUUGCCCAAGCUAAUGUUUUGGGGUAUCCUGACACAGGUGGCCAGGUAUAAUUCUAAAAUAAAAUUGUUUUAGAAACAUAUUACAGGAUUCACAGCUCACUUCUUUGACAUACUAUUCUGUAAAUUUGCAUUUGCAGAUUGUUUAUAUUUUGGAUCAAGUUCGUGCUUUGGAGAAUGAGAUGCUACAAAGAAUACAAACGCAAGGUCUUGAUAUUGUACCUCGCAUUCUCAUUGUAAGUUCAAUUUGAUGUCUCAUGGUUUUCAUAUACUGUUAAUUGGUUAUUUGUAGUCUAUAGAAAUUAUGAAGAAUAUCAUGGUGUCAAUUUAGUUGCAAACUUGCAAUAUGAAAGUCUCCACAUUUGUAAUGGUCUUCUCCUGAGACUAUCCUGUGAUCUAAUGCAGGUGACCAGACUGCUACCUGAUGCAGUAGGCACCACUUGUGGUCAGCGUCUUGAGAAGGUCCUUGGGACGGAGCACACUUUCAUCCUUCGUGUUCCAUUUAGAACGGAAAAUGGAAUUAUCCGAAAAUGGAUCUCACGUUUUGAAGUAUGGCCUUACCUGGAGACCUAUGCUGAGGUACAUCUUUCAUUAAGCUUCCUCUCUGCACUUGCUUCCCAUUCAAUACCUUUAUGAAAGAAAAUUUAUAUCGUUUUCCUUUGCGCUGUAGGAUGUUGCACAUGAACUAACAGGAGAAUUGCAAGCCAAGCCAGACCUGAUAAUUGGAAACUACAGUGAUGGAAACCUAGUAGCUUCUUUAUUGGCGCAUAAACUGGGAGUUACUCAGGUUUUGAUACUAGAACAUCGUUGACCCUUGGCUCUACUUAAUAGUGGUUAUUUUUUCAUCUGAAUUUAAUAACCUUUGUUCUUCCACAUGCAGUGCACCAUCGCCCAUGCCCUGGAGAAAACAAAGUAUCCAAAUUCAGAUAUAUACUGGAAGAAGUUUGAGAACCAGUAUCACUUCUCUUGCCAGUUCACAGCUGAUUUAAUUGCAAUGAACCAUGCGGACUUCAUCAUCACGAGUACCUUCCAAGAGAUUGCUGGAAGGUUACUGUUCAUGCCAUUAGUGUUUUAAUGCACUAAUUUUUCGUUCAUAUUAAGAUGAAAAAAAUACUGCUGUGACCCGACUGGUUUCUUUUUAUGUUCUUCUGUUAUUUCAGCAAGGAUACUGUGGGACAGUAUGAAUCUCACACUGCCUUCACUCUUCCUGGGCUCUACCGUGUCGUGCAUGGGAUUGAUGUCUUUGAUCCAAAAUUCAAUAUUGUAUCCCCUGGAGCUGACAUGUCCAUCUACUUCCCGUCCACAGAGCAGUACAAAAGGCUCACCUCCCUCCAUCCAGAGAUCGAGGAGUUGCUUUACAGUUCUGUCGAGAAUUCUGACCACAAGUGAGAGCGUGUCUGCAUUACCUGCAUGUCUUUCCAUAUGUUAUUGUUCAAUUCAGUUAUUGACUCUGAGGUUCUUGCAGGUUUGUUUUGAAGGA